AUAAACCCUAGGUUAAACCGAAAGUAAACCGAAACCCUAAAUCCUAGGUUAAAUCGGUUUAAUAAACCCUAAGUCACGGUUUAGGAUCAAGUUUCCCAUAUAAGGAAAGUUUCCAGAAAUAGAAAGUUUCCAUAAAUAGAAAAUCUCCAUAAAUAGAAAGUUCCAUAUAAGGAAAGUUUCCAGAAAUAGAAAGUUUCGUAAAAUAGCAAUUUUCCCAAAAUAAAAGGUUCCCUAAAAUAGCAAGUUUCCCAAAAUGGAAAGUUACCAAAAUAGGAAACCCCUUCAUAAGGAAAUAUUCCAAAACCCUAAAGUACACGUUUGUUUAGGAUUUCUUUCUAGAUGAGAAAUAGAAAGUUUCCAUAUAAGGAAAGUUUCCAUAAAUAUAAAGUUUCACACAUAAAACCGAAACCCUUGAAAAAACCCUAGUACUAUAAAUCGCGGAUGCUAAAACCCUAAAACUUAACCGCGAAAUCCUAAUAUCCUAAUCUAGUAUGAUCCGAUUGUUUGGUUGUUGCAUACUAGAUCAAUCUUCUAGGGUUGAUUUCAUCCAUAUAUAUAUAUAUAACAUGAUUGUUUAGAAAACACUUGCUGAAGACAAGCAUGGUUCGGUCUUAAAUACCGCAUGACUUGGUCUAACCGAUUACAUGAGUUCUCAUUUAACUCUAUAUAUUAUAGAUAUCAGAAAUCAACUAUUAUGAAUACACGGCACUCAAUGCCUCUGGUGACAAUUAUUUAAAAUAGGCUUUGGACACUGAGAUUGUCCUAAAGGAAAAAGGGCUUGGUGAAUCUAUUAUGGAAUGAAACAAUGUCACAAGAAGAGAAAGAUAUAAGGCGAUUACUGACAUACGCCAUCACCUCAAUGAGAGUCUCAAAAUCAGUACCUCACUAUUAAGAAUCAUCUAGACCUCAGGACAGAGUUGAAAACAAAAAAAAAAAAAUAAAAAAAUAAAAAAUCCAAUAUAACCACCAAAGAACGGUGCUAUUACCCAAAAGCCCGAUUCGAUCGGGAGAAUCUCAGAUUCCAGGAAUUCAAAUCCAUGAAUGAGUAUAACUCAGCACUAUUUAAAAUAGUGUCAAUACUGAGAUUCCGUGGUGAGGAAGUUACUGAGAAUGACUUGCUAGAGAAAGCAUUCUCGACCUUUCACACAAACAAUAUAUUGCCUCAGCAACAAUAUCGUGAAAAAGGUUUUUACCACAUAUGCAAGUCUAAACUCUUGUUUUUGGGGAGGACUCCUCUGUAGAGAGUGCUAAGGACGAAAAUCGAAUGCCUCCCUAUUCAGAAGAAAAGAUAUCUCUAUAUAAUAUUACCGAAGUACCUUUAAAGAAAUAAUCUUGUCUUUGUAAACUAUUACUUACGAAUGCCAUUAUAAAUAAAAUUUGAAAGACGAAAUUAAUAAAGCUCAUUUAGGAUAAACAACUCAUUUUACAUAAUAUCCAUUUGUUUUCCAAAUCCUUAGCAACCUACAUAAGAUUUUCGUAACAAAUAAACCGACCACUUUUUUCUAUACGUCAUAUACAAUAUCUUAUGUGAUCUCUCUGUUACCAAUAUCACUUAUUUUCCUGUUUUGCCAAUAUACCAAAAUAUUUGCUUUACCACCAUUAUCGUAAAUUCAUCCAAAACAAGAAAUUCUAAGAUUUAAUUUAUAACAAUUAUUCCUUAGUCAAGCAAUUAAGAUUUUUGUACAAAUUAGAAUUGACGUCAAAUCUCUCCAAACACACACUGAACGGUCUGCAUCAACAUGAUGAUUUAUGAUACUAUAAGAACCCUAUCAAAUGAACAUAUUUAACAUAUAUUCAAAAUACUAUAUUUUUUAUGAAAUAUAAAAUAUAAAAUUCGUAUAAAGCUAAAACUAUCCUAACUAAAAUCCGUUUUAGUUUGAAAUCAAUAUUUCGUAUAAAAGUAUUAAUAUCUAAUACACUAUUACAACCGUAAUAUUUUUUAAUACAACUAAACAUAUUGAAUAACAAUAUAAACUAUUAAACACAAGGAAAAAUGGCCAAAAUCAAUCCCAGCUAUUUCUAUGCGGUAUUUUUCAACCCAAACUCGGAUCUCCUACACUUAUCAACCCAAGCUCACAUAAUUUUUAAAUAAGAAACUUGAACUAUGUAACUGUUAGCUAAUUUUAACAUAGUUUUUAUUUGUAUGAUUAAAUAUCGAUUAGAAUUGUUAAGUCGUAAUUAUCUAUUCUUUUGUAUAUUAAUCGUUCCUUUUAUUCAAAAUAAAAUAAUCAUAAUUAGUGUAACACUAUAAUGAUAUAUCUUUAAACUUUAACUAAUUUCCAUAUAUAUAUUUGUUGGGGUCGGAUUCCAUCCUUUGGCGCCGAGCCAGACUUAGAGCACCCCGGGAGUCUUUCAGUGAUCACCUCGGGGCAUCGCAUCAUCCACCUCGGGUUAUCCAUCUAAUCAGUUUAGGGUACCCGAGCCCAUCGCCUCGGGGAUACCCGAACGAUACGUCUUGGGGUACCCGAGCCCAGUUGCCUCGGGGGUACCCGAGCCCAGUCGCCUCGGGGUACCCGAGCCCAUCGCCUCGGGGUACCCGAGCCCAUCGCCUCGGGGACACCCGAACAAGUCAUCCUAGAGUACCCGAGCCCAGUCGCCUCGGGGUAUCCGAGCCCAUCGCCUCGGGGACACCCGAACAAGUCAUCCUAGAGUAUCCGAGCCAGUCCUUCCUGUGUACCCGAGCCGAUUGCACAAGUUUCUCCGAGGCGAAGUCUUCAUCAUCACCCGAGGUAAAGACUUAGUAAAUAUUCGUCUUCAAAGUAUCAUUUCCAAGCAAGGCAUCAUUUCCGAAAAAGAAGGAUCAUUUCCGAUAAACCCGUAAAUGAUAAAGAAGAAUCACGAAGGAUCAACUCAAAUCAGGAAAUCUUCCAAAAAAACUCCGAAGAAUAAGGAAACUAUCCUAAUCCGCGAUAUUCUACGCCGACUUCAAGAUAAAUGGAAAUCUUCCGAGAAUAUCGCUGGAGAGGCGGUUUAUCACCCCUACAUAAAGAGACUCAAGGCUCUCGCAGAAGGCAAGCAAUAUCGCUCCAGAAUUUACUCUACACAAAGCUCAUAAGCACAAACACCUUUUCUUUUUACGAUCAAACUCUUGUACGAUCAAAACCAUCUUUUUCUUAAUAAAAUCAAGAACACCAUCUUUGGUUUCAAUCCGUUCUGUUGUUCUUUGAGUUCAAGUUUAUUUUAUCCCUAAAAUAAAACCCUAGACAAAUCUUGAUUGUGUUAGUUUUGACUUCCACAGUUUGGCGCCGUCUGUGGGGAUACUUUAGAAUUCUCUUACCCUAAGACGCAGAACUCGGUUACCGAAGAACGAUGAACGAAGACGGUCGUCAGACACCACCAGUCGGAGGAGGGAACCCUAACCCUCUGAACCCUCAGAAUCCUCAGGUCGAUCCGGCAAUCUCAGCGACCCUAGCCGAACUGAAGGAUAUGAUGGUUAAAUUCCAGAAGAAAGCUGACGACCAGGAGAAAGCUAACAAGACUUUGGCGCAGCAAAUCGAGGAAAUCACAUCCCGUGGGCAACACAUAACCGCGCGUUUCCAGACUCGUCCGCUACGAGCCCGGAGGGACUUGCCUGGCAUCAACCCAACAAGGCUUACGUCGCGACGCCAACUGACAACACCAGAGCCGCAAGCCGAGCCGAUCCUGCCCGACGCUAGAAUCAAGAUGAUCCCACCGAACCAGACGCAGUGGACCUAACGGACGAGCCGGAUAAUCCGCAAGGCGAGCGUACCCGAACCGGAGCUAACUCUGUCGAACGGACCGAUCUCACUGAUGACGAAGAAACUGAGGAAAACAUAAGGUGGGCCGAAGAGUCCGAAAGAGAAGACGAGCUUAGCAAGAUCCGAGCCUCCCUAGCCAAGGCGGAAGCUGACAUGAAGCUCGUCAAAACCCAGAUACAUAGCAUUUCAUCCUCUGCACCUAACAUCGACCGAAUUUUGGAGGAAUCUCGGAAUACGCCUUUCACCAAAAGAAUUUUCGAAACGAUAAUGUCCAAUCUGGGGAAGUUCAAAAUCGACACUUACAACGGAUCAACCGACCCGAAGUGUCACAUUAAGUCAUUCGUGAUAUCCGUGGCCUGAGCCAGGUUCAAGCCCGGGGAGAAGGAUGCUGGUCUAUGCUUACUAUUCGUGGAACACCUCAAGGGACCCACAUUAGAGUGGUUUUCAAGAUUGGAACGAAAUUCGAUUGAUAGCUUCGAUGAGCUGUCGACACUUUUCCUUAAGCAGUAUUUCGUGCUCAUCGACCCCAGAACGUCCGAUGCAGAUCUGUGGUCUCUGUCUCAACAGCCCACCGAGCCGUUAAGAGAUUUCCUCAUAACUUUCAAAUCGACGCUAGCCAAGGUCGAAGGAAUCACAGAUGUAGCCGCCAUUUCGGCUUUGAAGAAAGCUCUCUGGUACAAGUCAGAAUUCAGGAAAGAGCUGAACCUUUCAAAACCAACAACAAUUCGCGACGCAUUACACCGAGCCUCGGAUUUCGUCGCCCAUGAAGAAGAGAUGGCGCUGCUAGCAAAGAGGCACGAGCCGACGAAACAGGCGGGACGAAUACGCAUCACGAAGGGCGCAAUUUCUCUGGAUACCAUAACUACCAGAUUGAGGAGGAAGAGAGUCCUUCACUUGGACAAGGUAUCAGCCACCAAGCAAUGAUCAAGAAUAUUGCGAGCACCACAAAAUCUUCGGCCACCACACCUCGAGAUGCCGAAGCCUCGGCGCUAAGUUAGCAGCCAAAUUCCUAGAAGGGGAGCUCGGAACGAGUGUCACGCUUAAAGACAUCGAGCCAGAGCCAGAGCCCGAACAGACCAUAAUGGGUGGAUCGCCAUACUGUCCUGACACCGUAGCGGCAAUCAAAGCUUAUCAACGCCGAGCCGAGACGCCUAGCAACUGGACCAGACCUUUUGACCGACCUAACGACGUGAUCACAUUCGAAGUGAUCACAUUCGAAGAAAGCGAGACGAACGGGCUCGACAUGCGUCAUAACGAUCCAAUCGUCAUCACAUUAGCGAUAGGAGAGCAUGAUAUUUACCGAGUAUUAAUUGACACCGGCAGCACCAUCGACGUGAUCUUUCGCGAAACGCUCCGACAAAUGAACAUCGACAUGUCACAGGUAACUCCGACCCCGAGGCCAGUCCUCGGGUUUUCAGGAGAAACUUUAAUGACGCUUGGAACCAUCCAAUUACCAGUCCGAGCCGGCGGGGUGACAAAGAUAGUCAACUUCUCGGUCACCGAUCAACCUACCAUCUACAACGUCAUAAUGGGAACGCCGUGGCUAAAUCUAAUGCGAGCUGUCGCAUCAACGUAUCAUCUCUGUGUCAAAUUCCCGACCCCCAAUGGAGUGAAAACGAUUUGGGGAAGUCAGAAAAAUUCACGGAUGUGCUUCAUGGCAGCACACAAGCUCCGAAACCCGGUCACUAAAGCUAAGGCCGAAGCUGACCACAAAAAAUCGAAACUCGGCCGGAGCGAAGAGAAGGCUAUAUCUAAACAGUUAUAGCAGUUACAGAUCGAGGAGGCACGCGAGGAGAAGAAGCCUACCUCGGAUCCUGUAAUCUCCAUUAGCCUCGACGAGGAACAGCCUGAACGGUGCGUGGAAAUCGGCAGCAACUUAACCGAGGAGAUCAAGACUGAGCUCAUCUUAUUCCUCAAGGAGAACAUUAACACCUUCGCCUGGUCGGCUGAAGAUCUACCUGGAGUAAGCAUCGACGUAAUCUGCCACGAGCUGAAUGUUGACCCAUCUUUCAAGCCCAUCAAGCAGAAGCGAAGAAAAUUGGGUCGGGAUCGCGCGGAUGCCGUAAAUGCAGAAGUAGAAAAACUCCUGAAGAUCGGUUCAAUCUCCGAAGCAAGAUAUCCAGACUGGUUAGCGAAUCCCGUCGUGGUUAAAAAGAAGAACGGCAAGUGGAGAGUUUGCAUCGACUUCACCGAUCUGAACAAAGCUUGUCCUAAAGACAGUUUUCCGCUCCCACAUAUCGAUCGUUUAGUAGAAGCAACUGCGGGAAAAUGCUUGGCUUUCUACGAUACUCUGCGCGGGAACAAGAAAUUGGAAUGGACUGAUCGCUAUGAAGAAGCUUUCCAGGAACUGAAGAAGUAUCUGGCUAAUCCACCGGUCUUAGCAAAACCAGUGCCGGGCGAGCCAUUAUUCCUGUACAUCGCGGUCUCGGAUACAUCGAUAAGUGGAGUCAUAGUCAGGGAAGACAGAGGAGAGCAGAAGCCGAUAUUCUAUGUCUCGCAAACUUUCACCGACGCAGAAACACGCUACCCGCAAACCGAAAAGCUCGUUCUCGCCGUAGUAAUGUCAGCUCGGAAGCUACGGCCAUAUUUCCAGUCUCACUCAAUUGUCAUCAUGGCACCCGUGUCGCUUUGAACUAUCUUGCAUAGCCCGAGUCAGUCGGGACGCCUGGCCAAAUGGGCAGUAGAACUCAGUGAAUACGACAUUGAAUACAGGAACAAAACAUGCGCAAAAUCUCAGGUCCUCGCCGACUUUAUCAUCUAGCUGCCAACAGAAAACGCCCGAGAAGAGUUGCCCGACGCUGUUUGGAUCCUCCACGUCGACGGAUCAUCCUCAAAACAAGGCUCUGGCGUCGGAAUCCGCUUAGCAUCACCAGAGGGUGAGAUCCUCGAACAAUCUUUUUGGCUAAAUUUCGACGCGACUAACAACGUGACAAAGUAUGAAGCACUGAUAGCAGGACUUAAGCUAGCUCGGGGACUUAAGAUCAACAAGCUGCGAGCCUUUUGUGACUCCCAGCUCGUGGCCAAUCAAUUCAAUGGAGAAUACGCGGCUCGUGACGAACGAAUGGAAGCAUAUCUUGCUCUCACGCAAGACUUGGCAAAACAGUUCAAAGAGUUUGAGUUAACCAGAAUCCCGCGAGGUGAGAACACAUCAGCCGAUGCCUUAGCGGCUCUAGCUUCAACUUCCGACCCAAAUCUGAAGAGAAUCAUACCGGUUGAAUUCAUCGAAAAGCCGAGCAUUGAAGACAGUAGCAAGGAUCAAGUUCUAACAGCUCGGGAGACGGAAGAACCGGAAGAAAUGGACAUCGAACCGCUAGACCAGCAAACUACAGACGCAACCGAGCCCAAAUACGGAAGCGACGCCAAAUGGAUCGGAGCCAUCCGAAGUUACAUAGCAGAUGGAGAAGUUCCUGCAGAAAAAUGGGCGGCUCGGAAGCUUAAGGCAAAAGCGGCGCGAUAUACCCCGAUCGACGGAGAACUCUUUAAAUGGCGAUUCUCCGGACCCCUCCUUAUCUGUGUCGAAGGAAACGAAGCUCGGAGAGUCAUGGAAGAAGUACACGGCGGAUCUUGUGGGAAUCACUCUGGCGGAAGAGCCCUAGCCGUAAAGAUCAAACGCCACGGGUAUUUUUGGCCGACGAUGGUCAAAAGACUACGAAAAGUUUUCUCAACGAUGCGACAAAUGCCAGAGGCACGCACCAACCAUUCAUCAACCCGCCGAGCUCCUCUCUUCCAUCACCUCGGCUUACCCCUUCAUGCGCUGGUCCAUCGACAUUAUCGGAUCUCUACACAACUCCAAGCAGAAGAAACUCGUCCUCGUGCUAACAGACUACUUCUCCAAAUGGAUCGAGGCUGACUCCUAUGCCAGCAUCAAAGACGCAAAGGUCGAGAACUUCGUCUGGAAGAACAUCAUAUGCCGCCACGGGAUACCUUACGAGAUCGUUACAGACAAUGGGUCACAGUUUAUUUCGGCUCGAUUCGAGGGAUUCUGUGAGAAAUGGGGAAUUCGCCUCAGCAAGUCUACGCCUCGGUAUCCUCAGGGAAACAGACAGGCGGAAACAGCAAACAAAACGAUUCUCGACGGAAUAAAAAAGCGCCUCGACGCGAAGAAAGGCCGCUGGGCCGACGAAUUGGAAGGAGUACUAUGGUCGCAUAGAACAACGCCGAGGCGUACCACGGGGGAAACACCUUUUGCCCUCGUCUACGGUACAGAGUGUGUGAUUCCCACCGAAGCCGAGAUCCUGGGAAUAAGAAGACGUUUGCUCCCCGAACAGGAAAAUUCCAACACUCAGAUGAUGCUGGACGAACUGGACUUAAUCGACGAAAGAAGAGAUUCGGCUUUGGUCCGUAUGCAGAACUAUCAGAAUGCUACAGCCCGGUACUACAAUUCUCACGUUAAGCAUCGCCGCUUCCACGAAGGAGAUCUCGUACUGCGCAAAGUUUUCCAGAAUACUGCCGAACAGAAUGCUGGUAAGCUUGGCGCAAACUGGGAAGGACCUUACACGAUCGCAAAGGUGAUCCGUCCCGGCGUCUACGAACUCAUCGACAUGAACGGCAAAGCGGUAUCUAGAUCCUGGAACGCAAUGCAUCUAAGGAAGUAUUAUCGCUAAGAACCUAAGGUACGCAUGUACUUGAACUACGGGGUGGCUUGAUCCCUGAAAAGGGUACGUAGGCAGCUCGUCCUCGGACGAGUUCAGCUACCCCCCCUAAUUAAAAAAGGGGGGGAGUGGGUCCGUAUACAUAUACUCCCACUAAAAUUUUCAAAUUCUCUAAGUUUUUACCCUUCGGAUUUUCAAUUUUAUCCACCUCGACAUCUAUCCCAAAAUUCAUCUCGGGAACCUUUACGGUUUUCUUAUCGACCCACAAAGCCAACAGUUCGUUCGGACGAUGGCCACAUCCACGAACAGAGAGCUCAUUUCACCGCUUUGGUUACAAUGCGUUAUAUAAGCAUUCAAGACAAUUCGGUCGGAGAUAUCUUGCCAAAGAAAUUGUCUUCAGAAAACCCAGUCAACUUCGACACUGGUACCCCAGUUCGCUUCUAAGCACUGGCAUCGACUAUGUCAGCUCGGGUCGCAACCGAUAAAGAUUAGUCCCACGUGAUCGAAACCUAGUUACUUUAAUACUGGUACGUUACUCAUCGUCACGGUUCGGAAGUUAGCUUCUACUGAACCGAAAGUCAUUUCCACCGAAACCCAAUAACUGACAUUGGCGCAUAUUUCGUUUCCUCGGCUCGGAAGUUAAAACGUUUGAAUUUAACUUCUCAACGAGCAAAUCAUAAACCCAGUUAACUUAACACUGGUGCACGAUUCUUUUUGUUUUUGGCUCGGAAGUUAAAAUUAUUAGGAAAAAUUUUUAACUUCUCAACGAGCAAGUCAUAAACCCAGUUAUUUGACAUUGGUAUCGGAUUCAGUUCGGAAAUAUUUUAAGAUAAAAGUACUUCUAACAUAAUAUUCAGUGGAUAAAGCCGUCCAGUCAUGUCUUACAAAAAAAAAAAAAAGACAUCUCGGGAUCAGAUCGAAUCUUGGUUAACCGGUGAAACUUGAGCUACCUCGGUACCUCGGUUCAAACCCGUCUGGUCGGCAACACCUAUCGCAGCCGCGGCGCCCUCGAUCGAUCGGUUCCCGAAGCUAUCAUUGACAGAGUCCGGGGAAACCGAAGGAAGCUUCAAGUCCUCUCGCAGCUCGGUCCCGAGACGGACGUACUCAUCCUCGGCAUCCCCAUACUCAGCCGUCCAUUGAAGGACCUCGGCCUUCUCAUCCUCCACCUUUUUCCCUUCUUCCAUCUCGGCUAUCAGCUCGGCAUUGGCCCGUGCUUGCACCAAGUACAUAUAGGGCGUGGAUACCUUCCCGUACUGAUCCAUCUUCGCCUCGAUAGCCUUGACCUUCUCGGCAAACUCCCUUCUGGCUGCCCUCCGUUCCCUGACAAUCUCCUUCUCCCAGAGAGCCUUUUCUUCGGUAAAUAACCGAUGGAGGCGUGCAAUCUCGGCCUCGAGCUUUCUCUGAGUCCGCAGGAUAUCCUUAGAAGCUUUCAAUCGCUCCACCUUCUCGGCCUUGGCUAACGCCUCAGCUUCCUGUUUAGCCGUGAUCGCCUCGGAAAACCUAGCCUCGACCUCAGCUCGGGACAUCUCCGAUCUCUCACGAGCCAGCUCGGACUUCCGAGCUCCAAAAUCAUAGGCUCGAACCAUGGAAUUCAUCGAGUGGAAGGCCUGAAAUGGAACGAGAAUCAUUAGCAAACAAAUAUGGAAACGAUAGUAAAACACGUCAGGGGCAGAUCGAUACCUUCAGAAAUCCAUCAGUGGUUUCACGGUAGUUUUGAGCCUCCAGCAAGGCCUCGGGAGCAAACAGUGGUGGACCCGAGCAAGAAGCAACAAAAUUCGCCGAAGCAACCUUGUCCUUGUACACUGGAGUUUCACUACGACUCCUCUUCUCCUUCCUAGAAACUCCCGAGCCAUCACCUCGGGGUCUUUUUCCCCUCGGUUUGGAUUUCGCCUCGGCGACUGGAGCAACAACAACCAGAGCCCCUACCACCUCGGGGACACCGGUCGUAGGAGAGAUAUGCCCGGCCACCUCGGGCACGAUCGAAGCCAUAUCCCGAGCUUCAUCAGUCGCCUUGGCACCAUCGACGACCUCAGGGCUGGCCUCGGGAGGAGUAGGAGGUCUGAAGUUUGCCUCCAAAACCGCUCUUUCCUUAGCCGCCUUCUUUUCGGCAGCUUUCCUGGCUCUCAGAGACUGCGCAACGCCCUGCAUUUCAAUAAGAUGAUCUAAACGGUGGUCGGAAGACUCUGAAGACGAACGACAAGGGGCUCCGUGCAACAAUCGCAAGGCUCUCUCAAUUCUAUCUCGGGAGAAAUGCUUCGUCCAAUCGCACUUCCGAGCUAUCAGUUCGUCGUGCAGAUCUAGGAAGCCCUCAGGAACGUUCUCGAGAAAUGACGGGUUCCGAUCUGCAUGAACAAAAAAGAAUAAGAGUCAGUAAAGGUUGAAAUAAAACAAAGUAGCGAGAACGACUUGGGGCGUAAAUACCAAUUUUUCUACAUUUCCCAACAAAUUUCCCUAAAUAAUCCUCAUGGACACUAUACUCGUCCAAAGCUACGUAGAAGAAGUGAUCAGUAUACUUCUCAUCCUUGCUCGGGAACCCGCCUAUAACCCUCCUAUUCGGCCUCAAGGAUAUGUAAAACCUCUCUGCAGGGCCUGGUAUGCGACGGACCUCCAGGAGAUUCCUUAGGUGACUAAGGUCAACGAUAUUGACCGUCUCGAUACCUCGGACUAAAAUCCCCACUAGAUGCCGCAGGCCUCGGGUCGUUAUCUGGGAUAGAGCAAUCUUGUACGACCACAGAAACGCCAAAAUCGGCCUCGGGAUUAGAAGCCAAAGGUAGCAAUGGUAGAAGAACCCCUCAUAAAGGGUGAAAAACCCCUCGGGCGGAUCAUCUGCUCGCUCGUUCGGAGUUGGAAGGCUUAGUUCAAUCCCCUCGCUAAAACCAAACCAGGCCUUGAGAUCCCGAAGGGAAUCCUCCGUGCAUAAGGUGGAACCCGGGGGAUCGGGUUUCCUAGCUUUCUUGGCUCGUUUUCUCUUCUGUUGACCCUUGGCUGCUUGAACUUUAGCUUGAAGCAACCUGGCCGCCUCGUCAGAGUCAUAAUGAACCUCCUCGGCCUUAAUAGGAAGUAGAGGCGCCUCGGGGGCAUUUUCCCAGCAUGAGACUCCAGCUUCACCAACUGCCGGUGGAUGGACCCCCCUCCUAUUCAAAAUCGCCUCGGGAUCAUCAGGCAAAUCCUGAUCCCUAGCCACAUCUGCAAUCGUGUCUUCUCGAGCAAUGAAACGGCUCGGGUCUUCUUCCCGUGAAGCCGACUCUGCAUCACUGCCACAGUACAACUCGAUCUGACGGUCCGUGGUGUCCGCCUCGGGGUCACUCGAAGAACUCCAGACCAUCUUUCUCUUGUAGACAGGGAGAAGAGUGUCGCCUCGGGGCAAAUCACUGGAAUCAGAAAGAGACAUUUUCUGGCUCGGGAAAUUGAAGAAGUUGAUCGGAGGAACAAGGUUUGGCAGAUCGGAAAAAUCAACCUAGAUCUAAUAACGGUGGCGCUACAACGGAAGUAUAACGGAAAAAAUAUAAAAUGGAAGAGCUCAAGAUCAGAGAGAGAAGAGAACGAACCUUGAAAAUUUUCCUUUGCACUUGCGAAAUGAGAGAAUGAGUCGGAGACUUAACAUUUAUAGGGAUUUAGGGCGCGUCGGGUACGAACGAGCUGAAUAAAACACAUCGUGUCCGCAUCUAAGGCGCGUCGGGCACGCGCGAAUUGAAUAGGAUACUUCACAUCCGCACGAAUCUCGGGAAUCAGCGAAGGACCUUUUCACUUCUUGAGAAGGAAUCCCAACCGUCACAGGCCAAGAGAAGAUGAAACGACAGAGGAAUUCGAAUCGCCAAAAACUUUAAAAGGACCGGACUGUCCGAAGUAAACGGCUCGGCCCAAUCGUCAUAAAGCUCGUCACGCUUGGUUCUCCAAACUAACAAGCUGGGGGGCUAACUGUUGGGGUCGGAUUCCAUCCUUUGGCGCCGAGCCAGACUUAGAGCACCCUGGGAGUCUUUCAGUGAUCACCUCGGGGCAUCGCAUCAUCCACCUCGGGUUAUCCAUCUAAUCAGUUUAGGGUACCCGAGCCCAUCGCCUCGGGGAUACCCGAACGAGACAUCUCGGGGUACCCGAGCCCAGUUGCCUCGGGGGUACCCGAGCCCAGUCGCCUCGGGGUACCCGAGCCCAUCGCCUCGGGGACACCCGAACAAGUCAUCCUAGAGUACCCGAGCCCAGUCGCCUCGGGGUACCCGAGCCCAUCGCCUCGGGGACACCCGAACAAGUCAUCCUAGAGUACCCGAGCCAGUCCUUCCUGUGUACCCGAGCCGAUUGCACAAGUUUCUCCGAGGCGAAGUCUUCAUCAUCACCCGAGGUAAAGACUUAGUAAAUAUUCGUCUUCAAAGUAUCAUUUCCAAGCAAGGCAUCAUUUCCGAAAAAGAAGGAUCAUUUCCGAUAAACCCGGAAAUGAUAAAGAAGAAUCACAAAGGAUCAACUCAAAUCAGGAAAUCUUCCAAAAAACUCCGAAGAAUAAGGAAACUAUCCUAAUCCGCGAUAUUCUACGCCGACUUCAAGAUAAAUAGAAAUCCUCCGAGAAUAUCGCUGGAGAGGCGGUUUAUCACCCCUACAUAAAGAGACUCAAGGCUCUCGCAGAAGGCAAGCAAUAUCGCUCCAGAAUUUACUCUACACAAAGCUCAUAAGCACAAACACCUUUUCUUUUUACGAUCAAACUCUUGUACGAUCAAAACCAUCUUUUUCUUAAUAAAAUCAAGAACACCAUCUUUGGUUUCAAUCCGUUCUGUUGUUCUUUGAGAAUUCACGUUUAUUGUAUCCCUAAAAUAAAACCUUAGACAAAUUUUGAUUGUGUUAGUUUCGACUUCCACAAUAUUUUCAUAAAUAAUAAACAAAUUGCCUUCCAUUUUUAUUGGUUGACAAUAAAAACAGUGAAAAUAGAACUAAAUCUAAAAAAAAUAGAUGAUAAUAACCUUAAUUUACAAAGGCCUAGUGGAACUAAACCAUGUUCUUUUCAAAAGUUUUUUUAAUUAUUAAAAAAAAAAUUCCAUAACAAUUCAAAUAUUCUCGCUUCUUCAUUUCUUUUAUUUUUUAAAUGAAGGAAAAUCAUUCUAAAUAAAAACUGGAAAAAUGAAAUUCAAAAUAUUUCAAUUCAUUUUGAGGCUUUCACUUUUAUGAAUAAGUUUUUUUUUUCUGUUAGAGAGUUUUAGAUUUAAAGCAUGAGAACUAAACUUUGUUAGAUAUAUAGUUCACCUCAACCUCAUACUUGAAAUAAAGCUCUUAAAACUAAGUAUAAACUAAGAAUAAAUUUUGAAAAAACAAAAAAAAAUCUAAGCAUAAAUUAAGUCUCACAUAAUAUAUAAAUUCCUUCUAAAUUCAGGAUCUCUAUAUACUCCCUCUGUUUUUUAAAAGUUGUCGUUUUAACUGUAUUUGGACAAAUUAAGAAAAUGUAUACAAUGACUAUAUUAACCUCAUAAAAAUGACAAGUAAUUAUUUACAAAUAAUUUGUGUUCAAUAAAAUGAGAGUAAUUUGGGUAGUUAUUGGCAUAAAUUACAUUAUUACCUUAAAACGACAACUAAUUUAAAACAAAAAAAGCUCUAAAACGACAACUAUUCGAAAACGGAGGGAGUAUGUAGUAUAGUCAUUUUAGAAUACUUAAUUUCUAAAAUUUACUGCAACAACUUCACAUAUUAAAUGAUUAAUUCUUAAAUUCACUUAAUUUUUAUUUUUUUGCUAUGUAGUUUUCUAUUUUUUUUAUUCUAACUCCCAAUAUAUUAUUAUAGGAAAUUUUAAUUAAUGACAUCAUUUUCUGUUAGAAAUUUCUCAAUUGCCCACGAGAUUUAUUUAGAAAUAUUAUCCAUCAGAUAAAGAAUAACGUAAGAGCAACUCAUUAGGAGAUUAAUUAAUGAUAACUUAAUUUUCAUAAAAUGAUAGAAUAUAUAAGCCCAUAUUUUCGAUUAAAUAACAAAAAAUCUGAAAACUUAAAAAAAAUUAACGCCCCAUCCGAAAAGGAAAAGAAUUAUGCCUUAUCUCUUAACCCAUUUGUUUUGGGUGGGGGGUGGGGAAGGUUAACGCAUUUAGUUUUCUUAGUUCCUUUUAUUUUCUUUUUGCAAAUAGACUAAUCGUACAGUGUGCAACUCUCAAGAAAAUGAUCCAGAAUAAUAACAAAUAGUAUUGCACUACAAAUACUAAGAAAAACAAAAUUUAACAUAUCACAUAUGAAUCAUUUGAAAAAAAAAUAAAAAAACAUAACAUGAUUCUCUAUGAUCUUCAAUCGGCAAAAUACAAAUAAACUCUCUAUUUUUAAAUCAUAUAAGAGUUUUGUUGCUCUUCUCGGAUCUUAACCGAAAAAAAGAUAUAAAGUUUUUGCCAAAUUCCAAUCACAUUUGAUUUUUUAGAAUUAAUCUUAUUUAUUAUGUGUUAAUAUACAAUUACCUUUAUGACAUUUCUCAUAUGGUUGAGAGAAGUAACUAAAUAGUCUUCCAUGAUAUUGAGUCCGUUCAAAUCAUUAACUUCAUUCGGACUUUCCAAGUUUCUUAUCAAUUAAUAAAUAAUAGUUUUAGUAAACUUAAUAAAAAAAAACUAAAACUAAUAAGAAAAUUAAAAAAAAUGAUUUAUUGAAUCUUCAUUAGUGUUUUUCUUAAUUAUAACUUCAAAAUUAACUUCUUCUCUUCAUACAAUUUCUUGAGUUCUCUCAGUUUAGUGACUUUCUUGUCAUCCUAAAUUUCAAUAAUUAUAGUAUUCAAUAAAUAUUUAUUAAAAGUAAACAAUAUAUUUUUUCAAAUAUUUUUUAAUAAAUAUUUUCGUACAUGAAUCUCUUCAUCUCUGCAAUAAAUAUAGCAAAAUUAGAUCUAGUAUGUUGAAUAAUCUAUAAGUAUGUGUUUGAAUAUAAACAAAAUCAUACAUUUCAUGCAAAAAUUGAUCAUUUCUUAGUGAAAAUUGAUCAUUUUCAGACGAAAAUUAUCGCUUUUAGGCGAAAAUUUAUCAUAUUCAUUAUUGGUCACUUCUGGAUUGUUCUUGUUCAACAAUUUUAUCAGCCUCUAUAUAUACAUGUAAAAAAUAAAUAAAUAAAAAAACAUUUCAUAAAAAAAGAGAAAAUUUACUUAGUUGUUCGUUACUAGCUUUUGUUGGCUAAAUCUUCUAAUAUUCUGAUAAGUUUUUGUUUUGGUUUUAUUUUUUAUAUUGAAAACUAAUAAUAUCAAUCACAUAAACUUAGAUUUGAAUAUAGAACCAAUAAAUAUGAAAAUAAGUAUACAUGUUUUAUGUUUAUUGUCAAAACCGUAUCCCCAACUAAUCGUGAGAAAGAUAAUAGAGAAUGAUAAAUCAAACUUUAAUUGAUAAAUAUAAAGUGAUGAGUAAAUCGAACCUUUACUGUGUAGGCUCUCCUGAAUGCAUACAUAAAAUACCAAAGUCAGCCAAUGUAUAAAACAAAAACCAUGCCAAUGUAGUUAUGUAAUAAUAAUAUACAAAUCUGAAAGAUCACACCUUUCUUCCCGUUCUUGUAAUGAAAGCAUGCAAUACCUAUCAUAGAUUUUAUUAAAGGACCUACAAUUUCAAAAGCAUAGUUUUAAGAAAAUAUUGGUAAUUUCAAUUCAUAACCAACAAAUUGACGAUUCUAUAAUAACACUCACUAUUGGACAUGUAGCCAACUAGUGCAUGUUACCAUGUCACUCCUAAGUAGCUAAAAAAAAAAGUGAACCUAAUUUAUAAUCGUUGCAAAAAUAUUUUAUGAAAAAACAAGAAUAAGUGGAAAAUAGUUUAAUUUUUUGAAAACUUAGGUUCAAAUAAUUUAUACUUAGAACGAAUGUGGAAAAGGGUAGGUUUAUCGGUAGGAGAAACAACAAUCAAAAUUAUUUCAAAAUCACACAAUAGUGCCACUUCUUUUGCCUUCUUGAAAAGACUUUUUUUUUUUACGUUUUGAGUAUUUGCUACUUCUCUCUUUUAUGCAUUCUAUUCUAUUCAGUUUUAUUUUCUUCCUCCCCAUUUUUCUACAACUAAUUUUGUUUUCCUUGAGUAUUUCCCCCAUUCCCCUUUAUAUAAUAAGGUUUAGAGAAAGUUUAUCUUGGGGGUAAUUAAAGACGAGACUAGAGAAGAAUCUUUAGAUUCUUACCAAAAAAAAAGAGAAGAAUCUUUAGAUUAAUGUGUUAUUUAAUAGCUAUUAUUAUCUUUGAAAAUUCUAGAUUUGGUUUCAUAGAUUUUAAUUGAUGUCAUUAGUAUUCCACAAGACAAACAAUAUUUUUUUUUUCCUUGACACACAAGUAGAUGGUUAAUCUUAAUUGGUUAUGCUCAUUUUGACUUUUCCAAGUUUACUUGGAUUAAAAUACUCAUAGCAAAAAUUAAAUAUUCAUAACAUUAUAUGAUCACGUAACACAAAAUAAAACAAUCAUAAUAAGUGCAACACUAUGAUGAUAUAUCUUUAAACUUUAACUAAUUUUCUUAAAUAAAUUUUCAUAAAUAAUAAACAGAUUGCCUUGCAUUUUUAUUGGUUGACUAUAAAAACAGUGAAAGUAGAACUAAAUCUAAAAGAAAUUAGAUGAUAUUUACACAUAAUUUACAAAGGCCUUGUGAAACAAAACUCCGUUCUUUAAAAAAAAAUUAAUUAUUUUUUAAAAAAUAUAUUCCACAAUAAUUCAAAUAUUAUCGCUUCUUUAUUUUAUUUUAUUUUUUAAAUGAAAAAUUCAUUCUAAAUAAAAACUGAAAUAAUGAAAUUCAAAAUAUUUAAAUUCAUUUUGAGGCUUUCACUUUAUAAUUAAGUUUUUUUUCUGUUAAUGAGUUUUACAUUUAAAGGAUGAGAACUAAACUUUGUUAGAUAUAUAGCUCAGCUCAACCUCAUACUUUGAAAUAAAGCUCUUAAAAAGAAGUAUAAACUAAGGAUAAACUUUGAAGAAACAAAAAAAAAUCUAAGCAUAAACUAAGUCUCACCUAAUAUAGAAAUUCUUUCUAAAUUAAAGAUCUAUAUAUCGUAUAGUCAUUUUAAUAUACCUAAUUUCUAAAAUUUACCGCAACAACUUCACAUAUUAAAUGAUUAAUCCUUAAAUUCACUUAAUUUUUAUGUCUUUGCAAUGUAGUUUACUAUUUUAUUAUUCUAACUCCCAAUAUAUUAUUAUAGGAAAUUUUUUUUAUUGACAUAAUUUUCUAUUAGAAAUUUCUUAAUUGCCCAAGAGACUUAUUUAGAAAGAUUAUCCAUCGGAUAAAUAAUAACAUAGGAGCAACCCAUUAGGAGAAAAGAAGUACAAUAUACUAGGGUUCACUAACAAAUAAAAUCAUAAAUUUAAUAUCGAAAAAUAUAAAACAUGAUUAGAAUGAAAUUUUAAUUAACGAUAACCUAAUUUUCAUAAAAUAAUAGAAUAUAUAAGCCCAAAUUUUCUUUUAAAUAACAACAAAAAAUAUGAAAACAUAAAAAAAAAAUUAUUAACGCCCCAUCCGAAAAAGAAAAGAAAUAUCCCUUAUCUUUUAACCUAUUUUUGGGAGGAAAACGGUUAAUGUAUGUAGUUUUCUUAGUUCCUUUUGUUUUAUUUUUUUGCAAAUAAAGUAAUCAUACAGUGUGCAACCCUCAAGAAAAUGGUCGAGAAAAAUCACAUAUAGUAUUACACUACAAAUGAUAUAAAAAAAAAGGAAUUAACAUAUCACAUAUGAAUCAUUUGAAAAAAAAAACAAAAAAACAUACCAUGAUUCCCUAUGAUCUUCAAUCGACAAAAUACAAAUAAACUCUCCAUUUUUAAAUCAUAGAAGAGUUUUGUUGCUCUCCUCGGAUCUUAACCUAAAACAAGAUAUAUUUGUUUUGCAAAAUUCCAAUCACAUUUGAUUUUUAGAAUAAAUCUUAUUUAUUAUAUGUUAAUAUACAAUUACCUUUAUGACAUUUCUCAUAUGGUUGAGAGAAGUAACGAAAUAGUCUUCCAUGAUAUUGAGUCCGUUCAAAUCAUUAACUUCAUUCAGACUUUCCCAGUUUCUUAUCAAUUAAUAAAUUAUAGUUUUAGUUAACUUAAUAGAUAAAACUAAAACUAAUAAGAAAAUUAAUAAAAAUGAUUUAUUGAAUCUUCAUUAGUGUUUUUCUUAAUCAUUACCUCAAAAUUAUUGAGUUCUCUCAGUUUAGUUAUCUUAUUAUCAUCCUAAAUUUCAAUAAUUAUAGUAUUAAAUAAAUAUUUAUUAACAUAAAACAAUAUAUUUCUUCAAAUAUUUUUUAAUAAAUAUUUUCGUACCUGAAUCUCUUCACCUCUGCAAGAAAUAUAGCAAAAUUAGAUCUAGUAUAUUGAAUAAUCUUUAAGCAUGUUUUUGAAUAUAAACAAAAUCAUACCUUUCAGGCGAAAAUUGAUCAUUUGCUAUGGUCACUUCUCGAUUGAUCUUGUUCAGCAGUUUUAUUAGCGUCUAUAUAUACAUGUAAAAAAUAAAUAAACAAACAUUUCAUAAAAAAAGAGACAAAAUUUACUUAGUUGUUCGUUACUAACUUUAGUUGGUUAAAUCUUCUAAUAUUCUGAUAAGUUUUUGUUUUCGGUUUUAUUAUUUUAUUGAAGACUAAUAAUGUCAAUCACAUAAACAUAGAUUUGAAUAUAGCACAAAUAAACUACAAAAAUAAGUAUACAUCUUUUAUGCGUAAAAUAUUGUCAAACCAUUUCCCCAACUAAUCAUGAGAAAGAUAUUAGAUAGUGAAAAAUCAAACUUUAAAGUGAUGAGUAAAUCCAACCUUUAUUAUGUAGGCUGUCCCGAAUGCAUACAUAAAAUACCAAAGUCAGUCUAUGUAUAAAACAAAAACCAUGCCAAUGUACUUAUGUAAUUAUAAUAUAAAAAUCUAAAAGAUCUUGUAAUGAAAGCAUGCGAUACCUCUCAAAAUUUUUAUUAAAGGACUUACAAUUUCAAAAGCAUAGUUUUAAGAAAAUAUUCGUAAUUUCAAUUCAUAACCAACAAAUUAACGAUUCUAUAAUAACAUUUCGUGUUGAACAUGUAGCCAACUGGUGCAUGUUACCAUGUCACUCCUAAGUAGUUAAAAAAAAUAGUGAACUUAAAUUAUAAUUGUUUAAAAACUAUUUUAUGAAGAAAAAACAAGAACAAGUGCAAAAUAAUUGAGAUAUCCACGAUAAUUUAGUGCGUCAUUAUAAAUUAAUGAAUUAAUAAUUGGCUUAUGGAUCUAAGUUCAGAAAUUUUGUAUUAACAAAAAAAACCAUAAAGACAACAAUAGUUUAAAUUUUUGAAAAAUCAUGUUCAAAUCAUUUAUAUUUAGAACGAGUGUGGAAAAGAGUAAGCUUAUCGGUGGGAGAAACAACAAUGAAGAUUAUAUCACAAUCACACAACAAUGCUACUUCUUAUGCCUUCUUUAAAAACUCUUCAGUUUUAUUUUCUUCCUCCCCAUUUUUCCUUCAAAUAUAUAUAUAUUUUGGAGUGUUCUCCUCACAUCCCCUUUAUAUUAUAUGGUUUAGAGGAAGUUUAUCUUGAAGGUAAUUAAAAAUGAGACUAGAGAAGAAUCUUCAUAAUUAGAUUAAUGUGUUAUUUAAUAGCAAAAUCUUUAAAAAAAUCAAGAUUUGGUUUCACAGAUUUUACUUGAUAUCAUUAGUAUCCCACAAGACAAACAAUGUUUUUUGUUUUUUGCUGACACACAAUUAUAAGUUGAAUCUUAAUUGGUUAUGCUCAUUUUGACUUAUCUAAAUUUAGUUGGAUUAAAAUACACAUAGCAAAAAAAUUAAGUAUUCAUAACAUUAUAUAAUCACGUAGCAUGAAAUAAUAGAAUCAUAAUUACUAUGAUACUACGAUGAUAUAUCAUUAAACAUUAAUUAAUUUUUUAAAUAUUUUUUCAUAAAUAUUAAUCAGAUUGCCUUCCAUUUUUCUUGAUUGACUAUAAAAACAGUGAAAGUAGAAAUAAAUCUAAACAAAAUUAGAUGAUAAGUACCCCUAAUUUACAAAGGCGUUAUCAAACUAAACUUCGUUCUUUUUAAGUUUGUUUAAUUAUGUUUUAAAAAAUUAAAUUCCAUAACAAUUCAAAUAUAAUCGCUUCUUCAUUUUCUUUUGUUUUGUGAAUGAAGAAAAAUCAUUCUACAUAAAAACUGGAAAAAUGAAAUUCAAAAUAUUUAAAUUCAUUUUAAGUUUUCACUUUAUAAAUAAAGUUUUUCUGUUAAAGAGGUUUAUAUUUAAAGCAUGAGAACUAAACUUUGUUAGGUAUAUAGCUCAGCUCAACCCCAUACUUUGAAAUAAAACUCUUAAAAAGAAGCAUAAACUAAGCAUAAACUCUGAAGAAAAAAAAAAAAACUAAGCAUAAACUAAGUCUCACCUAAUAUAUAGAUUCUUUCUAAAUUAAGGAUAUAUAUAUAUAUAUCAUAUAGUCAUUUUAGAAUACCUAAUUUCUGAAAUUUGCCUCAACAACUUUACAUACUAAAUAAUUAAUCAUUAAAUUCACUUAAUUUUUAUUUUUUCUGUUAUAUAGUUUACUAUUUUAUUAUUUUAACUUUCAGCAUAUUAUUAUAGGAAAUUUUAUGAAGUUCCAUCAUUUUCUGUCAGAAAUUUUUCAAUAAUUUAGCAGUUCAUUAGGAGAUAAGAGGUACGACAUUCUAGGGUUCACUAACUAAUGAAAUACAAAAUUUAAUAUUGAAAAAAUAUAAAACAUGAUUAGAAUGAAAUUUUAAUUAACGAUAAUCUAAUUUCAUAAAAUAAUAGAAUACAUAAGCCCAUAUUUCUUUUAAAUAACAACAAAAAUAUGAAAACUUAAAAAAAAAAAAUUAUUAACGCCCUAUCCGAAAAGAAUAAAGAAAUAUCCCUUAUCUUUUAACCCAUUUUUGGUUUCCUUUUAUUUUCUUUUUUACAAACAGACUAAUCAUACAGUGUGCAACUCUCAAGAAAAUGGUCCGAAAAAAUCACAAAUAGUAUUGCACUAUAAAUGGUAAAAAGAAAAAUUAACAUAUCACAUAUGAAUCAUUUGAAAGAAAAAAGAACAUAACAUUAUUUCCUAUGAUCUCCAAUCUCCAAAAUACAUAAUAAACUCUCCAUUUUAAAUCAUAUAAGAGUUUUGUUGCUCUUCUCGGAUCUUAACCUGAAACAAGAUAUAAUUGUUUUGCAAAAUUCCAAUCACAUUUGAUUUUUAGAAUAAAUCUUAUUUAUUAUAUGUUAAUAUGCAAUUACCUUUAUGACAUUUCUGAUAUGGUUGAGAGAAGUAACUAAAUAGUCUUCCAUGAUAUUGAGUCCGUUCAAAUCAAUAACUUCAUUCGGACUUUCCCAGUUUCUUAUCAAUUAAUAAAUAAUAGGUUUAGCAAAACUUAAUAAAAAAAAAAACUAAAAUUAAUUAGAAAAUUAAUAAAAAUGAUUUAUUGAAUCUUCAUUAGUGUUUUUCUUAAUCAUUACCUCAAAAUUAACUUCUUCUCAUCAUACAAUUCCUUGAGUUCUCUCAGUUUAGUGACCUUAUUAUCAUCCUAAAUUUCAUUAAUUAUAGUAUUAAAUAAACAUUUAUUAAAAGGAAACAAAAUAUUUUUUAAGAAAUAAUUUCGUACCUGAAUCUCUUCACUUCUGCAAUAAAUAUAUCCAAAUUAGAUCUAGUAUGUUGAAUAAUCUAUAAGCAUGUGUUUGAAUAUAAACAAAAUUAUACCUUUCUGGCAAAAAUUGAUCAUUUUCAAGCGAAAAUUGAUCAUUUUCAGGCGAAAAUUGGUCACUUUCAGCAAAAGAUUGAUCAUUUUCUAUAGUCACUUCUGGAUUGUUCUUGUUCAAUAAUUUUAUCAGCGUCUAUAUAUACAUGUAAAAAAUAAAUAAAUAAACAAACGUUUCAUACAAAAAAAAAAAGAAGAGAAAAUUUACUUAGUUGUUCGUUAUUAGCUUUAGUUGGCUAAAUUUUUUAAUAUUCUGAUAAUUUUAAUUUUUGGUGUUAUUUUUUAUUGAAAACUAAUAAUAUCAAUCACAUAAACUUAGAUUUGAAUAUAGCACCAAUAAACUAUGAAAAUAAGUAUACAUCUUUUAUGCUUAAACUAUUGUGAAAACCAUAUAUCCAACUAAUCGUGAGAAAGAUAUUGGCGUGUGAAAACUCAAACUUUAAUUGAUAAAUGUAAAGUGAUGAAUAAAUCAAACCUUUAUUGUGUAGGCUCUCCUGAAUGCAUACAUAAAACACCAAAGUCAGCCAAUGUAUAAAACCAAAACCAUGCCAAUGUACUUAUGUAAUAAUAAUAUAAAAUCUGAAAAAUCACACCUUUCUUCCCGUUCUUGUAAUGAAAGCAUGCAAUAUCUCUCAUAGAUUUUAUUGAAGGACCUACAAUUUCAAAAGCAUAGUUUUAAGCAAAUAUUGGUAAUUUCAAUUCAUAAGCAACAAAUUAACGAUUCUAUGAUACCACUUCCUACUAGACAUGUAGUCGACUAGUGCAUGUUAGCAUGUCACUCCUUAGUAGUUAAAAAAAAAAGUGAACCUAGAUUAUAAUCGUUUCAAAACUAUUUUAUGGAAAAAACAAGAUCCAGUGGAAAAUAAUUGAGAUAUCUAUGAUCAUUUAGCGCGUUAUUGUAAGUUGAUGAAUUAAUAAUUGGCUUAUGGAUCUAAAUGUAGAAGUGAUCUAUUAACAAAAAAAAAAAAAACCAUAAACACAACAAUAUAUAUUUUUUUUUAGAACUUCUGUUCAAAUAAUUUAUACUUAGAACGGGUGUGGAAAAGGGUAGGCUUAUCCGUCGGAGAAACAACAAUCAAAAUGACUUCACAAUCGCAUAACAAUGCUACUUCUUCUGCCUUCUUGAAAAGCCCUUGUUUACGUUUUGAGUAUUUGCUACUUCUCUCUUUUAGGCUUUCUAUUCUAUUCAAUUUUAUUUUCUUCCUCCCCAUAUUUUCUACAAUUAAUAUUUUUUUCUUGAGUGUUCCCCCCAUAUCCCCUUUAUAUAAUAAGGUUUAGAGGAAGUUUAUCUUAGGGGUAAUUAAGGAUGAGACUAGAGAAGAAUCUUAAUUAGAUUAAUGUGUUAUUUAAUAGCUAUUAUUAUCUUUGAAAGUUCUAGAUUUGGUUUCAUAGAUUUUAAUUGAUGUCAUUAGUAUUCCACAAGACAAACAAUUUUUUUUUUUUCUGCUUGACACACAAGUAGAAGGUUAAUCUUAAUUGUUAUGCUCAUUUUAACUUUUCUAAAUUUAGUUGGAUUAAAAUAUUCAUAGCAAAAAAAUUAAAAUAAUCAUGAUUAGUAUAACACUAUGAUGAUAUAUCUUUAAACUUUAAUUAAUUUUCAUAAAUAAUGAACAGAUUGCCUUCCAUUUUUAUUGGUUGACUAUAAAAACAGUGUAAGUAGAACUAAAUCUAAAAGAAAUUAGUUGAGAAUUACCCCUAAUUUACAAAGGCCUUGUGAAACUAAAUUCCGUUUUUUUUAAGGUUGGCUAAUUAUUUUUAAGAAAAUUAAAUUCCAUAACAAUUGAAAUAUCACCGCUUCUUCAUUUUUCUUUUAUCUUGUAAAUGAAGAAAAGUCAUUCUAAAUAAAAACUGUAAAAGUGAAAUUCAAAAUAUUGAAAUUCAUUUUCUUGCUUUCAAUUUACAAAGAAGUAUUUUUUGUUAGAGUUUUAUAUUUAAAGCACGAGAACUAAACUUUGUUAGAUAUAUAGCUCAGUUCAACCACAUACUUUGAAACAAAACUCUUAAAAGGAAGAAUAAACUAAGCAUAAACUUUGCAAAAAAAAAAAAACUAAGCAUAAACUUAGUCUCACCCAAUAGAAGAUAUAGAUCAAGAAACUUAGUCUCACCCACGAAUGAAUGGGUACGGUAGAUAAUCGUACCAACCACACGAGUUUUGUCUUCAGUUCGAGAAUCUUUAGAUGGAAAGAUCUAGAGAUCAACGGCUAAAGAUAUUAUAAGGCACUGACCAAGGUUUAGUACUCAUUGUUUAACCACCAAGCCAAAAUGAAAAAUGUAACGCCCCGACAUCUUUAUCAGUGAGCACUCACAUCCUUUAUCGGACCCGUGGGCUCCAUCCCUGUCUGGCGGUCGGUCUGCUACGUCUGGAAGGCUUUAAAGACUUUGUUUACCGAUCAUACAAAUAACGACAUGAUCUUUCCACGUGUUUUGUCCUUACUCACCCGGUUCAGAUAAUCACUUCCCGGAAGGUCACCCAUCCUGAAAUUGCUCUAACCCAAGCACACUUAUCUGUGGAAUUCUCUCAGGACAGUUGACCGGAAAGAAAAGUGCAUUUUGGUGACAUAGGUGGUCAAAUCAAUUCUUUUAACCUUUACGCAUGCCUCACCAUCUUCAUGAAAUCGGGGUGUUAUAAGAAAGAUUAUAGACACGAGAAUAUUUAGAUCCUCCAAACUUAGAUGUUUUGUUAUAUGUGAAUAGUUGCAUCGAUCGAGAGGUUUGGCGAUGGAAUGGAGGAUAUCGCUCCAGCCAUAUCGAUUAAAUGAAAGACUUCCAAACGAGAAUUGACUAUAUACUUUUUAGCUUACGAUCCAAAAAUUACUUUGCAUGUCUAAGAAAGUAGUGUCCCAAGAACAAUGAGGAUGCAUGUUGUAUUUGAGAGAUGUUGGUCACGAACCAAAUGAGCAUUAGUAUCCAUAUGAUUACAUUAUAUUAGUAUUUCACAAGACAAACAAUGUAUGUUUUUUGUGUGUCACACAAGUGUAUGUGAGUCUUGAUUUUUUUUUUUUUUUUACUUUAAUCUAAUCUAGGUGGAUCAAAAUACACAUAGCCCAAAAUUAAAUAAUCAUAACAUUAUAUGAUCACCUAGCACAAAACAAAGUUACAAUGUGUUUUUUUUGUGCCACACAAGUGUACUUGAGUCUUGAUUAUGUUCCUUUUGACUUUAAAUCUAAAUCUAGUUGAAUCAAACUACACAUAGCCCAAAUGAAAUAAUCAUAACAGUAUAUGAUGACCUAGCACAAAACAAGGUUAUUCACUUUAUGGAACCGAUAGAAGACUUCCACUUAACAUAUAUGUUCGAUGUGAUGUUAUGAUAUAACAACAUACAAAUCUUAAGGUCUGGAUGUUGUAGUUGAGUAAAUUUUCAAAUCCUACUACAUAUAUAUUUAACACGAAGCUCUGAAAAGGAAGCAUAAACUAAGUCUCACUCAAUAGAAGAAUUAGAUCAAGAAACAAUACUUGAACGAAAUAAAUCAUAACCCACGAAUGAAUGAGUUGGGUAGAUAAUCGUAAAACAACCACUUGAGUUUUGUCUUCAUUUCGAAUAUCUUUAUAUGUAAGGAGAUCAAUUGAUAAUGAAAUAUAUAAGGCACAAACUAAGAUGUAGUAGUACACACAAUGUUUAGCCACCAAACAAAAGUUGAAAAAGAUUAUAGACAAGAGACAAUUUUGAUCUUCGAAACUUAGAUGUUUUGUUUUACAGGAAUAGUUGCAUCGACUCAUCGGGUAGUUUGGCGAUGAAUUCGAGGAUGUCACUCCAGCCAUAUCGAUUAAAUGGAAGACUUCCAAACGAGAAUGGACAGUAUCUUUUUUAGCUUACGAUCCAAAAAUUACUUUGCUUGCCUAAGAAAGUAGUGUCCGAAGAACAAUGAGGAUGCAUAUUUGAAAGAUGUUGGUCUCCAACCAAAUGAGGAUUAGGAUUCAAUUGAUUGCAUUAGCAUUUCACAAGACAAACUAGGCCUGGGCAAUCGGUUUUAUCGGUUUGUUCGGUUCGGUUUAUUCGGUUUUUCGGGUUUUUCGGUUUUUAAAAUUUCUGCCGAAUUGAACCGAAUAAAAAUUCGGUUCGGUUCGGUCGGUACUCGGUUUGUUCGGUUCGGUUAUAGGCCAAAAAAUCAAUUCCGAAAUAAACCGAAAUUUUUUCCAAUUCGGUUAAUUCGAACCAAAUUAGACCAAAAUAAAGAUAAUGGGCUUUUAAUAAGCAAAAUUUUACGGUUACAAACGAGUAAAAUAAUGGGCCAUGACUAAUUACAGAGUUAAGCCCAAAUAAAACUAAAACCCAAGUUCAAAAAAAAAUUAGGGUUGAUAGACUCGCCGCUACUCUCUUUCUCCGCUGUGACAGUGACGGCGACGAGAUGGCGGUGUCAUCAAACAAUGCGAUCUCUCCGAAUAAACCCUCAACGAAAGCUAUCAUACCAUCGUCAAAAUCACAUGCAGUAAGAAUCCAAUAUCUAAAAUUGAGAAAAUAGGAAAAGAAAAACAAAAUUGAAAAUCGAUUAGAUCUGAAGUUUUACAUGCCGUGUGUUUGGUGACGAGGAGGAGCGUAACGGCGACGCCAGCGAUAAACGGCCAAAACAUUUCGAAUCUGAACCACAGACUCGAUGUCGGAGAGAAUGAUUCAAAAUAGCCAUGGGUUAGGAUGAUAAGGCCAACAACGUUUCAAAUCUCUCUUGAAUAACACUUGCCAUGGAUUGAUGUCGAGGCUGAGGAAGAAGAAGAGAAGAAAAGAGAUGGAGAAGAAGAAGAAGAAGCUAUAAAGUUAACGAAGGAAUGAGAAGAGAUCGAAGGAGAAAAGAAGAAAGGAGAUGGACAGGAAGAAGCUAUAGAAAAUAGAUCUAGGGUUUUUGUUUUUUAUAUGGGUGUCUAUUAACCGAGAAAACCGAUCGGUUACCGUCUGCCGAACCGAACCGAACCGAGAACCGAAGUCUAAUUAUAAUUCUGCCGAUCGGUUUAGCCUUUCCUUUCUUAUCAGUGCCGAAAACCGAAAAAAUCGGUUUGUUCGGUUCGGUUAAUUCGGUUUAUUCCGAUUGCCCAGGCCUAAGACAAACAAUAUAUAUUUCUUUCUUUAUGACACACAAGUGUAUGUGACUCUUGAUUAUGUUUCUUUGACUUUUAAUCUAACAGUAUAUAUAUGGUUACCAAGCACAAAACAAGAUUACUUACAUGUGACACUAUGAUUAUCUAUUUCUAAACUUUAACUAAUUUUAUGUAAAUUCGUUUUCAUAAAUAAAUAAAUGAUCAGAUUGUCUUCUAUUUUUAGCUGUUAAAUAUAAAGAAGUAAAAAUAGCACUAAAUCUAAGAUAAGUUCAAAGAAUAACCUAAUUUUUAGAGUUCAAGGCAUUUUGUUUUUUCUUUUUUGGUAGGAUUUUUGAAAUUACAAAUAGGAAAUAGGAUAGAACUUAUAAAUCAUUCCGAAACAGAAAUUUAGAUAGAAAAUAGGAAGUCUAAGUGCCAGUCUGAGGAUAUAUUCACACACUUGUCUAAUAAUAACAAGGCAGUGCAUAAUUUUUUUACAUGAGACAUUAAUUUUCUAACAGCCUGCUUAACGCAACAAAACGAUACCGUUUUAAAGAUUCUCCUCCUAAGAAAAAAGUAAUUGACACUACUCACUGUUCUGAGAAAUAACUUGUCCAAACCGAAGAAACAGCUGAGCAUCAGAAGCACUCAUGGAAGAGCAAUUGACAGAAUGAGGAGUCUUGAGAUUUGCAUACUCAUCGACGUAGCACGAACCAGCCAGCGUUGCUGAGGUGUCUGUCGCAGCAGGUGGUUGUUCCGACAACAUGAAGCUGCCGAGGACACGAGUCACUUGGUGCAUUGUGGGUCGAUCAUUAGGUUGUCUUUUGGUGCAUAGAAGUGCCAGUUGGAAAACUUUCUUCACCACACCGAGAUCCUUACACGUCGAUGUGAUGUCUGGAUCUGCCAUCUCCAUCACUUCAUUGUUCCCCGUCUUUGACAUUAUCUAAUGUGCAAGUGAAUCAAUGAAAACAAGAUUACAACACAAAAAACUUACCGAACCAAGCCGAAGUUCCUCAGAUCGAAACUAAAACAUUACAACAUUUUCAUGCUAAAUGUCGAACCAAAUCAGAAAAUACUUUUAACCAAACACAAAAAUUUACGGGUGUUUAAUUCAGAUAAACCGAUUCAAGCCAAAAUACUUGAUCCGAAAAUCGAAUCCAAAUCCAAACCAAACCAUAAAAGAAAACACCAAUGUAUAACCACCAAAGCUUCUUUGGAACAUAAUGAUAUAUUAGACUCAACCAAAAACCCGAAAAAUUAUAACAAGAAAACAGAUUGGCAUGCUGAGAGAAAGAGAGGCAAGAAAGGACAAACCAGAUGGUGGAGAUUGGAUUCGUCAUCGACGGCUUUCCUUCGGGUUAACAACUCAAGCAGCACUAUUCCAUAACUGUAGACAUCGGAUUUCUCAGUGAGACGUGAAGUGCGAGCAUACUCGGGGUCUAUGUAACCAAUCGUGCCCAUUACGUAAGUUGAAGUAUGUGACUUUGACACACACAAGCUUUUCGCGAUUCCGAAAUCUGUUAAACGAGCCUCUAAGUCUUUGUCCAAGAGAAUGUUGGACGACUUAACGUCUCUGUGAAUGAUCCUUGGACUACAGUCAUGGUGUAGAUAAGCUAAACCUUGUGCUGCACCAUAUGCUAUCUUAAGCCGUGUGUCCCAAUCAAGAGUCUUUUUCUUCGUAGGGCCUUUACAAACACACAAGAAAAUAUGUUAUGUAACAGAAGAAACAAAUGAAGUUUGUUUUUAGGGCAAUGAGACUUACCGUGAAGAAGAUCCCAGAGGCUACCAUUUUCCAAAUAGUCAUAGAACAGGAGACUCCCCAAUGGAGAGAGAGAAUAGGCUUGUAGGCUCACAAGAUUUCUGUGCUUGAUGCUACUUAGCAUCUCGAGUUCGGUCUCAAAUUGUUUCAUUGACUGUGGGUUGUGAGAGUAAAGCCGCUUAAUUGCUACCGGUUUGCAGUUCUUCAAAACACAUUUGUAUACAGUGCUUGAUGCUCCAUGCCCAAUGAUGUACUUCUCACUCAGAUUCUCAGUCAUUCUCAUGAUAUCCUCGUAAACGUGGAGUGCCAUGUUCAUAUGAAGGAUGACGAGCUUCGGGGUUGAAUAGGUUACUGAUGUCACCAAGAAGUUUAAGGAUUAGCUAUUGGGUUACAUUAGUAGUAGUUGAAGAACAUUUGUAAAGUGGUUUGGAGAGUAAACCUGGUUUGUCAAGUGAUCCAUCAAGAACUGGAGGAGGAUUAUGCGGCUGGCAAGCUGCUAUUAAGACCAUGAGAAGGAUCACAAGUCCCCCAAUAGCUAUUCCAAGAAUAGCUGCUCUAGAGAUUGACACUGCAGACAAAACAAGGAUAGAAACAUAAGCUUCUAUUAUCUUAGGUUAUGUGAAUGGAAGCUUUUAGAAGAAUGUAAUCACCUCGUACAGUUGGACGAGAAUCAUGACAGGGUGAGUUUAGCCAACUACCGCAAAGACCAGGAUUGCCAAUGAAGCUUUAUCCAAAACCAAAAAAAACAGAGAUCAAACAAACAUUAGCCAGCAAAACAAAAUACCAAAACUAAAUUAUUAUACCUGUCUGGUGAAAAUCUUGAGAAGUUAUUGUUCUUAGGGAUAUCGCCUACAAGGUUGUUGUGAGAUACAUUCCUAUAAAAGUUAGUCAAGAUUACAGGUUAGAUUCUAAGCACAAGAUGCACACAAAGAGACAAAAAGUGUUACAGAACCAAUUGUAUCUACUUACAAUACAGUCAGGCUGAGGCAGUUGGCUAAUGAACCAACAUUACCAGUUAAGUUAUUAUUUUCCAGUCUCCUGCAAGAAAUUUUAAGAAACACAACAUUGGAUAAAUCACCAACCCAAUAUCUGUCGCUGGAUCACACAUAGUGACCACAUCAAUUAUGUUCAGAUAUUUAUCUUUAUUUUACUAUCAUUUAACACAAACUAUUUCUCAACAGCUUUGGAGGGGUAAGAAGAAGAUUGCUUACAGCAAAACAAUAUUCUGCAAUUGAUUAAGCUCUUCUGGAAUUGGGCCCGAGAUAUCAUUAUUUGAAAGAUCUCUGCAACCACAAAACACAAAUUCAGAACGGUAAUGCGAUAUUUGGAAAAACUCUAACCAAGGAAAUAGAAGAUACUUCUUACAUUUCCAUGAUGCUUCUUAGAUUUCCAAAGUCGCCUGGAACUACACCGGUUAUAUGAUUUCUGCUCAAGUUCCUAAAACAAGAAUGCAAGAUUUCACAAUCCAUUUUCAUCUUUUACUAGAACAAAACAAUGAAUUGGAGGUCGUAUGGAUGCUCACAUCUUGAGAAGAUGCUCCAAAUCACCAAGGGAAGAAGGAAUGAUGCCAUUUAUCUUGUUGUUGGAAAGAUCCCUUCAAAUAUCAGAAAAUUAAUAUCUGUGGGACAAGGCAAAUAGAAAGAUGUAUACUUUACAGAAAACAAGAAACACUCACAAUGUAUCUAAGUUACCGAUACGAGAUAGCUCAACCGGGAUUGGACCUUUGAUAUUGUUGUUGGACAGAUUACUGGUUGAACCGAUAAAUCAAAAGCAAUAAAAAACUUGGUAGUUAAUGGCUUUAAAAUCUAAAAACAAAAGCUGCAGAACUAUAUCAUACAUUAAGGUAUCAGAAAGAUUCUCAGCGCCAAUACUUACAGGUAAGUCAUGCUCUCUAGCUUUUGAAAUGCUCGAGGUAUGGUGCCGCUAAACUUGUUCCCGUGAACAUUUCUACAGUUGCAAUAAUGAGACAAUAAUCAUAAAGAAGCAAGAAUUUUGAACAUUCCAGUGUGCAGUUUUAAGAGAAAGAGAUACGUACAAGCUAUUUAGGUUUGUGCAGGAGCUCAGAUGAUCAGGUAUAGGUCCUUCAAGAUCAUUGUUGGCCACAUUCCUAUAGGUAAAUAGUUCACAUCAAUAUAAGUACAUCAAAACAUGUCAAGCAUAGGAAGAGCUACUUACAGAUCAAACAAGUCAGUAAGCUUUCCAAGCUCCGGUGGUAUAUGACCCGUGAGAUGAUUAUCGUUGAGUUCCCUGUUGAAAUUGUACAAAUAGUUGAUAAUGAAACACAACUUAGCAGUGACUGACUGCGAAAAGAGAAGUAAAGAGAAGGUUGGUCAUACAGGUAAUGGAGUUUUGACAUGUUUCCAAGCUCAGGCGGAAUUGAACCAGUCAGCUUGUUACUGUGCAAAUACCUAGAGAAUAGAGAUAAAGCCAAAAUCAUAAUCAUUAUCAUUUACAUGGUAUGAAUCACACAUGGCUUCAAACUGAAAACUAAACUCUAAUGAGUCAUUAGACUUCCAUAUAUAGUAAUGAAAAGCCUUAUGCAUUGCAACCCCAUUCUUUAUAGACGUCAAUGUUUAAUUUUCCAUUUGAACUUCCACACAAUAUAUAAUGAAGGAAAUAUCAAGGUACAGAAUUACAAUUUCUCGGUGAAAGUCAGAUUUCCCAAAAUCGGAGGAAUAGGUCCACUCAACAAGUUGCCACUUAGAUCUCUGAAAAAAGAAACAAACCGGAACCUUUAAGUUCAUGAAAAUGUUAUAAGUAGCUUCGUUGAUUAGAAGAAAAUUACUUACAACACUGCAAGGGCUUGCAUGAGACCAAUCACUGAUGGAAUCUUCCCAGAAAGCUGAUUGCCUUGCAAUGAUCUAAGAUAAUAAAAUGAUCUUCUUAAAAGAAAACAAAGGCUAGCCAAAAUUUAAAGCAAAAGAUUUUCGCAGAUCACGACGAUAUGGUAACAGUAGAGAGGUUAGGACUAACAAUGUUGCAACUUGCAGGAAGCCGAUGUCAAAAGGGAUCUCACCAGUUAGCUGAUUGUAGGACAAGUCCCUGAGUACAUAAUAAGCAAAUCAUUAAGUAGAUUUUCCCAAGUAACCAAACUAGAAUAAGGAUGUAUAGAAGUAGAGAGAGAGGCACAUACAAAACCUGGAAGGCAGUGCAAUUUCCUAUCGUCUCAGGGAUACUACCAGUCAAACUGUUGUUUCUCACGUCACUGAUUCAAUACAGAAAAACAAAUUCAGAAGUUUCAUAUUGGGGAAAGAACUCAUCAUACUAUUCAGAUGUGCAAGAAGAGUAUCAUAGACUUACAAAUACCAAAGACCUGUCAGCUGACACAAAUCUGGAGAAAUGUUACCGACCAAGUUGUUUCCUCGCAACCCACUGUUCAUCAUAUUACAACAAUUAUCACCAGGUAAUGAAGAGACAUUGACAUACUUCAAAAAACAUUGACACUUACAGAUACUGAAGAACUUCAUUCCAGUAUAUAAGUCUUGGUAUCUCACCACUGAGUUUAUUCUGUGCCAGGUCCCUGCAAUCGAAAUUUCACAUUUUGAUCAUCUAUAUGGCUAAAAGUAGUAGACAUGUAAGGAUUAAAAGGAACAUACAGAAUUUUCAGGUUUGGAAUCUGCGAAAGCGUUGAAGGGAUCGGUCCUAUCAAUUGGUUAUUCUUCAGAAUCCUGUAAAAAGUAAAAUCCAUAUUCCUCAUAGUGAGUAUAUUUAGCAAAUAACAUAUGAAGACUGGUGUAGAAUAACUAGCUACUUACAGCUGCUCAAGUUGCUUCAACUUCGAAAUCGAAAACGGUAUGUCACCACUUAAUUCAUUGAAGGACAAGUCCCUGAAUAAAAAACAACAUCAUCCACUGAACUUCUAAGAUCAAAAUUAAUGGUAGUAACACUUAUCAUGGUUCUUACAAGUUUUGCAAAGAAGAACAGUCUCCAAUCUCAUCAGGAAUUUGCCCAGACAAACGAUUACCUCGCAGAUCACUACAUUAGAAAAACCAGAAGACAAAAGUCACAAAUUAGAGAGUGGAAUAAAGUAAGAUACUUUAUCUCAUGCUACAGUGAAUGUUGAAACAGUUACAUUGACAAGAGACUCUUGAGAUCUCCAAUAGCAGGUGAGAUUUCUCCAUCAAGAUUCAAAUCUGACAAAUUACUACAAAACAUACAAACACACACAAAACAAAUUACAACUUUUUCCACAAGCACACCAAAAACCCUUGUAAUAAACUUAAGGAUGAAACUUACAGAGCAACAACAUUGAAGGUGACAUUUUCACAAGUCACACCUCUCCAUACACAAUAGUCCGAAGAAGGUGAAGCUGUCCAGUCAUAAAGAACAUUGUUCACAUCUUUGAAUGACUUCUUAAUCUCCAGCAACGUUGCUCCUUUUUUUAAAAGGAUAUUUUAUUAACACACGCACAAACAAAAACAAAUAUUUGUCAGUUCUUGAGAAGAAGAAAAAUAAAAGUCCUUAAAAAUUCAACUUCCAAGAAAACAAAAAUAAACUCAAACCCUAAUUUAUUCAAAGCUUCUUUGAUUCUAUAGAAGACCCACAAAGUUAAAAAAAAAAAAAAAAAAAACCAUUACAAGUACCCAGAUCUCAUUUUCACCUCAAAACUCUUUAAGAAACUUCAAAAGCAUAUAAAAAUCUCAUCUUUUUAGUUUCUUCCACUUCAAAAAAAUCCAUUUUCUUACUCAACCAAAAGACGAAAUCUUGAACUUAAAGAAACAUGCAUCAGUAUAAUAACUUACCCUCGUCAGAAUUCACAGUAGCCACUAAGCUCAAACAGAUAAGAAAACCCAAAAGAACAACAUCUCGAAACAGAGCCAUUUUCUCUCAGACACAGUCUCAAAACGACUGCGUUUUCGAUACACUAAAAAAAGCUUUUAAGUCUCCAUGAAGAAGAAGAAACAGAGGAUAGAGAAGAAGAGAACCAAAUUAUGUACCGACAUUAGAUUUUUUUUAUGAUUUCUACUCAAAUUUGUUUUCUUUUUUUUACUUUAACCGAGAAGAAAAAGUAUUGAUUUUUAUCGUUCCAUCACAUCAUUUUCUGGCGGAAAUUUACAGUGGUUUCAUUGAGUGCUCAGACGACAGAAAUACAGAGUAAGAUAGAGAUGGAGAGAGAAAGAGAAAGAGAGAGUCUUUAAAUGAGGUUUAAAGAGAGGAAAUUGGACAAAUGUAGGGACUGUUGUGUAAGAGAGGAGACGAAGGGAAGAAGAAUUAUUUGGGGAGGAUAAAGUUAAAAACCCCAUCAUCUUUUAUCUCUCUGCCAGAGUUCUGAAGCUUUGCAGAAGAGAGAGAGACUUAGUUUUUGCAUAUUUCUCUCUCUUGAGGGGUAAAAUGGUCAUAAAUGUUGAAGAAGAAGAAGUAGAAGAACAUGUUAAUGGCAGUGGUGAAUAAAGGAGGUCGCUUUCGUUGCCAAUACUUACGAGUCUUUGUCUCUCUGUGCCUGUUUCACUGAUGACCCAUAUCAAUAAAUCCAUCAUAUGGGUACUUUCGUAAUAUGUCGUUUUAUGUAUAAACCAGAAAUCACAAAUAAGUAUCUUGAAUGAUUCCCAUUUUUUUUUUUGUUAAGUGUUGUUUGAUUACUAAAUUUAGAAGUGUUUUACUUAUGCAAAUGAAUUUAUUAUUUUAAACAUGUUUUGUUUGGCGUUUAAAGCAAAAGAUAUAAAAUUUGUUUGGUUUAGAUGUUAAUGGGAUUUCUUUGAUCCUGUUGGCUUGUCACAAAUGUUUAUACUUCGAGGACAAGAUCAAUUUAACCGAAUUUCGACUUAAAAUGAUUCGAUUCAUUAGUUGCAAACCAAUUAGCUAGUGAUGUUAAAACAGACAAAUCCGUCCGUUUAGGGCUCCGUAUGUUAACGUCCUACCCGUUUAAUUCUAUCCAUUUAAGUCAGUUGAGUUUUUUUUUUUUUUUUUUGUCCAUUUAGUUUAAUAUGAAUUUGAGUUUCCUAAACGUUAUUAGAAAGUUCAGAAGUAAUAUGAUUACUUUUCCACGUUUUCAAACACAAAAAUAUGUCCAUAAUAGUGUUCUAAAAAGCGGUCUAGGCGAUCGGCUAGGCCCCAACUAGACGCUACGCUCUUAUGCGACGUCUAAAUAACCGCUUUGAUCGUCUAAAAUUACAUAGAUUUUGUUUAAUGUAUUUUUUCAAUUUCAAUUAGAGUUUUAUUUAUAUAUAUAGUUAUAAAUAUUCAUAUAUUGUUAUAAAUAAAUGUUUUAUCUAGUUUUUAUUUAUAAUUUCAUAAUUUUUAGUUUUAUAUAGAUAUUUUAUAUAACUUUUAUAUAUAAUAUCAUAUUUAUAAUGUUUUCUGUUAUAAACGUCUAAUCCGCCUAAAAAAUCGCCUAGGCCCCGAUUAGGCAUUCUAGGCGCUAGGCAUUGGGUCACCGUCCGCUUAGCGUCUAGCGCUUUCUUGAACACUCUAUAUGAGAGAGUUAAACAAAUUUAACAUAUUACAACGAAAAUAAAAAUUACAAUUAAAAAAAUACAAAGUGAUAACUCCUGAUAUGUUAUGUAACCUGGAGUAACCACGUCUUUUUGGUAUGAUUCAUGGAGUAACCUAGGUUAUCUCAUGGAGAAGCUUGGGGAACGGGGCUGUAUUGACCUGGGGAUUCCUUUAUCAAGUACAGUAAAGGAAGUGCUGACUAUGACCCGCAGAAGGAACCAUCGACAAAAUAUCCUUAAUCUGGUGGAAGAAGAAAUUCGAAAACAAAGGUUAAAUCAGAGAACAAUGGACCGUGAUAUAGCAUUGUGGAAGGGGAAAAAUGGCUGCUUUCGUAAGAAGUUUAUAACAGGAGAAACAUGCUCGUUGCUACGUAUUGCUAAGCCACCGAUGGAGGGACAUAAGGAGAUAUGGUUCUCUUACGCAACUCCUAAAUAUGCAUUUCUUACUUGGCUGGUGUUGAAAAACAGAAUCUCAACGGGGGAGAGAAUGGUGAAAUGGAAUAGUAAUGUGAAUCCAAGUUGUGUUUUUUGUAAUGUACAGAUGGAGACAAGGGAACACCUAUUCUUUACAUGUCAUUACUCCAAACAGAUUUGGAGGACUUUGGCAAAGGGGAUCCUCUUAAACAGAUUCUCGGAGUGUUGGAGAGAGAUAUUGAAGAUCCUAGCAGAAAACGUACUUGACAAAACAAAGAGCUUCUUGCUAAGGUAUAUUUUCCAGAACUCCAUACAUUCGAUUUGGUGUGAACGGAAUAGAAGAAGGCACGGAGAGCAGCCCUCAUCGAUAGAGGUACUUGUGAAGAUGAUAGAUAAAAAUGUCCGAAACCGGUUGUGCACUAUCCAAGGAGGUGGCGACUUGAGAUUUGAAGGUGGCAUCCAAGUUUGGUUUGAAUCAAGGCAAUAGAGUUUACACGAUAAAAAGUUCUAUUCAAUUUGUUUUUGAAAAAGUUAGCAUUCUAUAUGUAUAAACGUUUAUUUUUCUUUUGAAUAUAAUUUAACAUUAAAUUCAAAAAAAAAAAAGUGAUUAAAUUGAUUUUUUUUUUCAUCUGGUAGAAGUUUAAUAAAAGAGGAACCAAGUUACAAAGUCGGCGAUUAAAAACAUAAUCCCGAAAACUAAGCCAACGGAUACAACACAUCCCCGGAAACUAAGCCGACGGAUAACAGGAUAUCCUCGGAAACUAAGCCCAAAAAGUGGGAUUCUAACAACAAUACUAGAAAUGAACAACAAUGCCAAAACAAAGAAGGCAACGAAGCACAAAGAACAUGAAAUACAACUCUAACUCAGAAUCUAGCACAACACACAUUGCCUACCAUCAAACCAACAAAGAGUAAAGCUUGAAGUAGUGGCUAACCGAUGGAGACAAGAAAAUCUACGACACCGGACAACGGCUCCUCCUAUAACAAUGAAAACUACCUCACAAAUUAUAGAGAACUAAAGCAUAUUUACUAGCAAGUAGAGAACAAGAACUCAAACACAACUCCUUGGAACGGCGAAUUUGAGGCAAGCGAAAUAACCACGAAAUGAUUACGCCAAGAAAGAUAACAAUGCAAUAGAGACCUCGAUCAGGUCUUGACCGUAGAGACAAGGACCGAACCCAAAAUCAUCCGCAUCAAACCGAAAACUGGAGGCGGUAAGAACGCGAACCGGAUCAAUAAACAAGCAUACUUAGCUGAACAGAGAAUAGGCAAGAGAACAACAAACUAGACCACAAAUACAGAUCCAAUUCCAAGACAGCACCAAAGAAACCAACGAUGAAGGCACAAAGACAAAGACCCAAAAGAGAAUUGAAGAGAAAAUGUAACCAACGGAUACGACAAUUCACAAAACGGCAUGGAGACAAAACGAUUCAGUACACAUACACAAGGUUUGAAAUUUAAGUAAGGAGACCCGUAGAUCGAAUAAAUCCGGCGUCACCCUCCUCGAACCAAAACAAACCACGAUCAGGAGAUCCACCGCAAAGCUUCCAUCAUGAGCGAAGAGGCAGAUCCGAAACAGAUUCGUCCCUGCAACUUGACAAAGACCAACCCGCCAUGAGUCACACCAACGCACAAAUAGCAGACCAUAGACCAAAGUUUCCGGUGACAAAAGGCCACUUUUAACCAGAUCUGAGAAUCAAAGACGGCCAAACCAUCUCGCCAAAGCCACCGUGCAAACACCGCCAAGGAAACAAAGACCAGAAACAAAAACUAAGGGAAAAAGAGAAACGUGACCGACGCCGGAGCUAAGUAAGCCACCACGCGCCGGUCAAAAUUCAGCCAAAUACGAAAAGACGAAGGAGGCGACGAUUAGGUCACGAGAGGAAAAAAUAGAAAACGGUCGUACGUGAUUAAAUUGAUUAGUUAAAUAAUUUUUAUUAAUCUAUAUAUAAUUAUAUUUAUAUUUAUAAUUUAUAAUGGAUGUACUCUAUAUAGUUACUAAUAAUGUUAAAAGGGGUUAAGAGCCUGCAGACCCAAACAUGCUUUUUGUAAAACUUUAGGCCUAUGCCCGUUUAUUUACACUAUAGAAUAAAGCAUUUUUUGCAAAAAAUCUCUCCAACUCGCCAAUUUUUGCAACUUUACUCUCAUUCUCCUAAAAAUAUGUUGGGGUCGGAUCCCACACAUCUUCGGUAGGAUCCACUUGGAUCUGUCCACGUCAUUUUUACAUAAUAAUCCUCUUGGAUUUCUAGAUGUUUCAUUGCGAGAAUCGAGCUCGACCUGUCGGAAGUUCGAUUCAGUUUAUUAAAGAGCUCGAUCUUUACCAGUACGGAGUUCGCUCUUAUUCAACAUAUAGUUCGCAUAAAGGAAGGCCGAAGCGAGGAGAAUAUUAUUCGAGGUUCGCGGCAGCGUCAAGACGCUGGAGUUCGGAGUCAACAAGAAAGAGUUCGGAAGAUCCACGCGAAGCCCAAGAUAAUUCAAAUUCAAGCCGUUUCGGUCAAAUUGUAACCUACAUGAUUAAUGCGGAUCAAUGCGAUUAUGAGCAGUAAAUGACCGCAUUGAUCAUGUUUUCUCUAUAAAAACAACCUCAAACGCAUGUGUUUGGGGGGAGAACAACCUUUUACCUCAUACCAUCAAGCAAUACAACAUACUCUUUCUUUUACAAUUUCGCAAGGCUUUUUACUAUUUUAUUCUUGCCAAACUCUUUCGCUUUAUUUAGUUUCUUGGUCACUUUCCUUUUCAAAUCCUUAUUUUCAUUUGUUGAUUUUAGAGUUUUUCUCCACAAAAAUACUUAAAGACAAUCGAGUGUGAAUCCUACAUCCACAUUUUGGCGCCGUCUGUGGGGAGUUACCGCAAAACUCUUUAAUCUCAGAGUCUUUCUUUUCCAAACCAAGAAACUAUGGCUGAUCAGCAAGCUUUGAGCAAUGCAAUUUCCUUGCUUACUCAGUCAACCACCGAUCUGACCAAUCAAAUGGGUACACUCGCUAGUGCCAACGCCACUUUUAGUGAAAGGUUGAACUCAAUCGAGCAAACCUUAGCGAGUGUUCAAAAUACUCAAACAAAUUUGUCAAACGCGCAUAACGUUGUUUCAAGCCGUUUAGAUAAUUUGUCCUCAGCGCAAACGACAGCGUAUCAGCGCAGGCUAUUCCAGACUCCCACACAAAACAGAUCCGGAAGCACUCAAAUUCCUCCUACAGGCCGUCUUGCUAGUACUAGCAAUCAGACUACCGUAGGAGAUGGGUCCAAUCCAACCAGGGAUGAAAAUCCCCAAAAUCAGGGCAAUCCUGCUAUUGACGAAGGACUCCUUAUGGAAGAACCUGAUGUCAUCCUCUCCGAUGAUUUCGCAAAGUUCGUCAAGAACUUGAUGAGAUUAAGUCGAAGUUUCAUCAGGCGACCAGUUCGGCACCUGAGAUCGAUCGAGUAAUCGAAGAAACUCGACGAACACCCUUCACUUCGAGAAUCUCGAACCUUCGGAUCAAAGAUUCUCGAAAGGUCAAAUUACCAACCUACGAUGGUAAAUGUGAUCCUAAAAAUCACCUCGCUGCUUUUCAGAUCGCCGCUGGCAGAAUUGAUCUAGAACCAGACGAGGAAGAUGCCGGAUAUUGCAAACUAUUCUCUGAAAAUCUAUCCGGAUUGGCUUUAUUAUGGUUCACUCAGUUGGAGCCUGAAUCUAUUGAUUGUUUUAAGGAAUUGUCCUCCGCAUUCCUAAAACAGUAUUCCAUGUUCAUGGAAAAGGCAACUUCUGAUGCAGAUCUAUGGAAUUUAACCCAAGGUUAGAACGAACCACUUCGCAAAUAUAUCGCAAAAUUCAAAGAAGUGAUAGCCAAAAUUCCUGGGGUAUCGCACGCUGCUGCCCUUUCUGCUUUAAGGAACGGACUUUGGCAUGAAUCUCGAUUUCGUGAAGAAAUCAUCGUCAAUCUUCCGAGCACUAUCCAAGAUGCUUUAUUCAGAGCUACUAAUUGGAUGGAGGCAGAAGAAGAAAAGCUUAGCCUCGCUAAAAAGCAUCGGCCAGCAAAAUUGGUCAUUGGAAAUCCAACUAAAAAAUUUGAACCAAAAGAUCAAAAACGGUUCGGAAUUAAUCCUGCUACUAAUGUCGUAGGAAAACCCUCCCCAAACAAAGGAAGAUACAAUUCUUCUAAUACCUGGGUUAGAGAUGAGAGUGCCUAUUGCGAUAUUCAUAGAGUAAAUGGGCAUUCCACCAAAGAUUGCAGCGUGCUCAAAAAGCACCUCACCGAACUGUGGGCGGCUGGAGAGCUCGCUAAUUUCAAUAUCGAGGAGUUUGUGGAAUCUUAUCAUAAAGAAAAAGAAGAUUCCGAAGCGUCCAAUCCUCCUGAAAAGAAACAUAAGCCCAAUGGGCCCGGAACUCCGAACACUCCUAAGAAAAGGAUCGAUGUUAUAAUGGGAGGAUCCAAAUAAUGCCGAGAUUCGAUCAGAUCAAUCAAAAGGCACAAAAAAUCAGCAGCAAUUCAAACCGCUGUGGGUUUCCAAUCAAAUGAACAAACACAUUCUAUCUCUUUUGAUAAUUCGGACACUCAAUGAUUAACAGGACCUCAUGACGAUGCUCUUGUGAUAACUUUAGAUGUUGUGAACUUCGAAGUAACUAGGUGUCUAAUUGAUACUGGAAGCUCGGUAGAUCUCAUAUUUCUAAGCACUUUGCAAAGAAUGGGAAUCAGUAAGGCUGACAUUAUCGGUCCACCGGCACCAUUAGUAGCUUUCACGAGUGACACAUCUAUGUCCUUGGGAAACAUAAAACUACCAGUGCUCGCCGCAGGGGUUCCUAAAAUUGUAGAAUUUAUUGUUUUCGACCGUCCGGCCGCUUACAACAUAAUUUUCGGAACUCUGUGGAUUUACCAAAUGAAGGCUAUACCUUCAACUUAUCACCAGUGUGUGAAAUUUCUGACUCCUGCAGGAAUCGGAACCAUUCGAGGAGAUCAGGAAAUGUCACGAUCUUGCUACCUCAUGGGACAUCGUUUAAAGCUUAAAUAGCAAUUAAUGAUAAACGCAAAGCAAGAAAUCACUUCGCGUUACCCAAGUGGUCUCAGUUCGAGUGAAGUUACCACAGAAAUUGAAAUUGAUUCCGAAUUUCCAGAUCGAAAAGUAAAAAUCGGUACUACUUUAGAUUCAGAAAUCAAAGAUCAGUUGGUAACAUUUCUAAAAGAAAAUAAACAUACUUUUGCCUGGUCGGCGAAAGAUAUGCCUGGAAUUGACAAAAAUAUCAUUACCCAUGAUUUAAACGUCGAUCCCAGUUUUAAACCAAUACAGCAAAAAAGAAGAAAACUUGGUCCAGACCGUGCUCAAGCGGUCAAUGACGAAGUUGAUAAGCUUUUGAAAAUUGGUUCCAUCAGAGAAGAGAAAUACCCGGACUGGUUAGCAAACCCCGUGGUAGUAAAAAAAAAAACGGAAAGUGGAGAGUAUGCGUCGAUUUCACCGACAUUACCAAAGCUUGCCCAAAAGAUAGCUUUCCUCUCCCACAUAUCGAUCGGCUCGUUGAGUCAACAGACGGAAACGAACUCUUAACAUUUAUGGAUGCAUUCUCUGGAUAUAAUCAGAUCAUGAUGAAUCCCGAAGAUGAAGAGAAAACAUCCUUCAUAACAGAUAGAGGAAUCUACUGUUACAAAGUUAUGCCAUUUGGUCUAAAAAAUGCCGGUGCAACAUACCAAUGUUUAGUUAACAAAAUGUUUUCAGAACAUUUGGGCAAAACGAUGGAAGUGUAUAUUGAUGAUAUGCUCGUGAAAUCUCUUAAGAAAUAUGAGCACAUCACUCAUCUUGAGCAGUGUUUCAAAAUUCUGAAUGAUUUCGGAAUGAAAUUAAAUCCUGUCAAAUAUUCUUCUGGUGUGCCUUCCGAAGAAUUCCUAGGCUAUAUAGUCACGGCAAGAGGAAUAGAAGCAAAUCCUAAUCAGAUUAACGCUUUCCUUACUAUGCUUUCGCCAAGAAACAUUAAGGAAGUUCAACGAUUGACAGGCAGAAUUGCUGCAUUAAAUCGUUUCAUAUCGAAGUCUACCGAUAAAUGUCUCCCCUUUUAUCAAAUUUUGAAAGGGAACAAAAAAUUUCGGUGGAAUGAUCAAUGCGAAGCAGCAUUUGGUCAACUCAAAACUUAUUUGACAACACCGCCGGUUCUCUCAAAACCUGAAUCGGAUGAAAAACUUUACCUUUACAUCUCGGUUUCUAAUCAUUCUGUAAGUGGGUUUUUAGUUCGAGAGGACCGAGGUGAGGAAAAGCCGAUUUUCUACAUAAGUAAAUCUCUUACUAGUCCAAAAACGAGAUAUACCAUGAUGGAAAAAUUAGUUUUAGCAGUGGUCAUAUCUGCUAGAAAACUCAGACCUUAUUUCCAAUCUCAUCCGAUAGAAGUUUUAACUUCUCAUCCACUUCGCUCAAUUCUUCACGGUCCAAGUCAGUCCGGAAGAUUGGCGAAAUGGGCAAUCGAACUCAGUGUGUACGAUAUAGAAUACAAACUUUGGACUAGCGCAAAAGCACAAGUCCUGGCUGAUUUUCUAACCGAACUACCAUUAGAUGAUGGAAUCUUUGUUGAAACGGACUCUACAUGGAAAUUACAUGUAGAUGGAUCUUCUUCUAAACAAGGAUCCGUAAUCGGCAUUAGGCUCGAAACUCUGACAAAGGAAAUAAUCGAGCAAUCAUUUCGAUUAAUGUUUCCAGCUUCGAACAAUGAAGCAAAGUACGAAGCUCUUUUAGCAGGACUUCGGCUUGCUCUUGCUAUUGGAGCAGAAAAAAUAAUAGCUUAUUGUGAUUCGCAGCUAGUUGUAAACCAGUUUGCUGGAGAUUACGAAGCUAAGGCUCCUCGAAUGGAAGCCUAUAUUUCGGCUGUCAAAAUAUUAGCCAGAAAAUUCAAAGAAUUUGAAUUAGUUCGAAUACCUAGAGGAGAAAACACUUCGGCAGACGCUUUAGCGGCCCUAGCUUCUACCUCAGAUCCUGAACUCAAACGAGUUAUCCCAGUUGAAUGUAUUUCUUCGCGAUGUAUUUCAGUUGAAGAAACAGAAAACAAUAACAUUUCGGAGGCCGAAUACAUCGAAACUCCAAAACAAAGUUCCGGAAAUAGUUCACUCGUCAUCACCAGAUCACGGAUAAAGUCUCAAGAUGACGAACUUACUCCACCAUUGGAACUUCCUAAAAGAAAGUCAAAAAGAAAGUUAAAGGAUCAAGAGGUUCCCAUUAAAGAACCGUCUCGAACCGAACAGUCACUUCCAGGUGAUGUAGAGGUUCAGGAGACAAUCGAAGAUCCCGAUAUUCCUUCUGAACCCAAACCAAGGAAGUUUAUACUCAAGGAUAAUACUUCCGCUAAUGAUUGGGGGGCUGACUGGAGGGUACCCAUCAAAAUUUUCAUUCUUAAUAGAGAACUACCAUCUAACAAAUGGCAAGCUCGCAAAUUAAAAAUCAUCAGCGCUAAGUAUUGUAUGAUUAAAGAGUCAUUGUACAAGCGAGGCGUCAGUGAUCCUUAUCUUUUAUGUAUUUUCGGACCCGAAGUUGAAAUAGUGACAAGCGAGGUCCACGAAGGGCUUUGUGGUAGUCAUUCUUCGGGACGAGCAAUGGCUUUCAAAAUCAAACAGUUAGGAUAUUUCUGGCCAACUAUGAUUUCAGACUGCAUUGAUUACGCCAAACGGUGUAAAGAGUGUCAGAUGCACGCUCCUCUUAUUCACCAGCCAUCUGAAAUUUUAUCACAUAUAUCCGCUCCAUACCCUUUCAUGAGGUGGUCAAUGGAUAUAAUCGGUCCGAUGCAUCGUUCAACACGAGGCGUCCAAUACUUAUUAGUUCUAACGGACUAUUUUUCCAAAUAGAUUGAAGCUGAAGCUUAUAUAAGCAUACAAGAUUCCGUAGUAAAGACAUUCUUGUGGAAACACAUUAUUUGUCGCUAUGGAAUUCCUUACGAAAUAGUAACGGACAAUGGUCCUCAAUUCAUUUCAAAUGAUUUUGAAGAUUUUUGUUCCGCUUGGGGAAUAAAACUUAGCUACUCAACGCCGAGGUAUCCUCAACGAAAUAGACAAGCGGAAGCCUCCAAUAAAACCAUUCUCAGCAAUCUUAAAAUACGCUUGAGUGCUCGAAAAGGUGGAUGGUAUGACGAGCUGCAACCUGUGUUGUGGGCUUAUCGAACAACCCCGAGGCGAGCAACGGGUGAAACUCCAUUCUAAUUAGUUUAUGGGAUGGAAGCCGUAGUCCCAGCCGAGCUGAAUAUUCCAGGUUUGCGCCGAAGCGAAGCUCCACUUAACGAAGAAUCGAAUUCUAAAUUAUUAGAAGACGUUCUUGAUACAAUCGAUGAAAGGCGAGACCAAUCCCUUAUUCGACUUCAGAAUUAUCAACAGUUGACCGCACGAUACUAUAACUAAAAGUUGAAAAACAGACCUUUAAAUGUAGGAGACUUUGUUUUAAGGCGAGUGUUCGAUAACACAAAAGAAGAAGGAGCUGGAAAACUCGGUAUUAACUGGGAAGGCCCUUAUCAAAUCACUGAAAAAAUCCGAAACGGUAUAUACCGUUUACAAGACCUUGGUGGAAAUCCCGUUCAAAGGCCUUGGAACAUAAUCAACUUGAAAAAGUUCUAUUGCUAAAGCAAACACAUUCGAACUACGAUUUGGCUUUAUCCUAUUUUGGGUACGUAGGCAGCUCGCUAAUCACGAGUCCAGCUAUAAUAUAAAAAUAAAAAUAUUAUUCCGGUCAUGGAAUCUUGUUUUUAUAUUCGAGCAUUAAUAUAAAAAUAUAUUGCGAACGAUGUCUAAAUAUUUCUAGGUAAGACCGGAUCUAGAAAGGUCUUGAGUUACAGAACAACUCCGCUCCUUGACCAGCGAGGUCAACGAUGCUAAUAAUACAACCUGGCAUGUUUCCGUACUCCUGAAGUCCUAGUUCGAUCCAAUCGGAAGGAUGGGCUUCGAGGCGAUGAAGCUCGCGAGAUAUAUCGAGGCGACGCUUCUCUAGCUCCAUUAUCCGUUUCCUAAUCUUUUUCUUCUCAUCUUCGAGCUCGUCAUGCCGAGUGAUAAGCUGAAGAAAAUAAAACGCUACGUUUAGCAAUAACAAAAAGAAGUUAAUCACUAGGAUGGAAAAUACCUUAUUGAUAAACUCCUCAGCCUUAACACGAUCUUGAGGCGACAAUCUCUCGAUUAAAACGAUCGGAACCUGAAUGCUGGUUCCCUUCUUCAAUAUUUGUGAAUCUUGUGGUUCGCCAGACUCUCCUGCUUUUAUAAGCUCGAUGUCCGACGUCCUCGAAGGAUCAACACUCAUCACUUUGAACGAGUCUGAAGGAUUCUCUGAUGAAUUACCUCCCUUGAACAUUUUUGUAGAAUUGUUGUUGAAAUUCAAUGACAGACUACACCCACUUUAUACUCGAAAAUUUAUUCGAUUGCAUUUAAGAGGAUUAAUUGACGAUUUCCCAAAUCUGAAAUUACGACUUUCAUGGAAAAUGUAAUCGAGUUAAUUGCUAAUUAUAUUCCCUAGAUAUAGCGCAUUGAAUAAGAUUUGAAUAAUCGGCAAAUUUAAAGCGAAAUGGGAAAUGUAAUUAAUGUUGCUGGGUUUCAAGACCAGCGACAUUUUACAAACAUAAAUAGAAAAGUGUUCGAUCAAAAAUCUUCGCCCGAUAAUGACUCCAGCGAGGUGGAAGAUCCCGAACAGCUUUCCGAGGAUAGUCCCUCGUCAGAAGAUAAAUCAGGAUUGUCAUCGAAGACAUCGUCUUCAUCACCAUCAAAGAUUUGUUCUCCCUGUCUUGGCAAAUUCGGAGCUCUGUUAUGUGUUUGAAGGACCUCUUGGACUGUAGUCUCAACAGUGGCACGCAUCGUCUCACGCCAAUUCUGCUGGAAUUCAGCCAUCAUUCCUCGAAACGCUUCGUUCUGCUCUUCAAGUUGUUGUUGCAGGGUUCUCUUUGGAGGCAUGAUUAGGACCGGUUCGUCUCUGAUACCAACUAAUGCAGGGGCUAAAUACGAUUGGAGUCUCGAGUAUCAAUGGAUCACGAGGCUAAGCAAUCGCAGCUAAGAUUCUUCUUUCUACAAAUAUCAAUGGAUCUUGAGGAGAAGGAGAAUACAAAGACUUGGAGAGAAAACAGAGUUCUCAAAGAAGUUUAUUAAAUCAAAAGCUGCUGAACUACAAAGGGUUCGAGUCCUUUAUAAAGGCUCGACUCUAAACGUGAAGAAGGGGUAAAACACCAAACCCUAGAACUAAUCCCCUUAAGACAUAAUUAAUAGUAAAAGCCCAAAACUUAGAUAAGAAGUAAUAAUUGUAAUCAAAACAAUAAAGCCCACGAAGAUAUGCUGCAUCACUCUCUUUCCAUCCUCUUUAUGCGCUCAUCAAGAGCACGACGUCUCCUUCCGAUUCUUUGUCUCUUAUCACAUAAAGCUUUGUGUCUCCCGACGAUCUGUUCACUACAGGAAAAACGGCUUUUCGUAGCAUCCGAAUAACGCUAUCUAACGUUUCUAUAGCGUUUUGACAAGCGCUAUUUCUGCGCCCGUCAUAGUAGGUCAGACACUUUAGAUAGCGCUUUUACGUAAUGCUAUUAUAUGUUUCUAUACAAUAGCGCUUUAUGAAAUGUAAUUAAAUAUAUUAGUAAUAUUAUUAACAACGUUUUGGGCAGUGUUAUGUGUAUUAUUAAUUUAUUAUAGCAUUAUAUUAGUGUUUCUAUAUUUUUAUAUUAUACCAAUUUGAAUAGAUAUAAAAUAUUAAAAUCUGGUUAUACUUAAAACAAAUACUCAUUAAAUUUUUUGUCCCAAAAGAUACAAUAAGGUUCUACAUUUAAAAACACUUAGUUCAAACUACUUCAUAAAAACCAAAUCACAUGAAUACAAUCUUGUCAUUAGGCCAAGCCACUGUGGUUCCUAUUGCAUCAGCAAUGAAUUUAACUUCAGAUUUUGCUCUCCACACUCGUGCACCAUCAACCUUGGAAACCUCUACCCAGACCUUGCUAGCGUUGGCACCUAAAGGGACGUGAUGGACCUUCUCUGUUGGAUCAGUUGAAGACACCCGACCUAUUGCAACUCUCUGCCCAGAGUUAUCAAUAUCUAAUAGAAUACACUUAUGUUUAGCACCUUUGCUAGUAGCAGUGCUGGGAGUAGUAGCACUGAGAGUAGUAGCACUCUAAAAUCAAAAAUUAUGAACUACAUCAGACUAACAUCACAGCAACAUCAACACAUCCAAUACAACAUGUGACUAUCCUAAGAUAUCCAAGUUUAAGUAUUCAUACCAAUUAAAUUAAAAGCUAGUUGCAGAAACUUACUUGAGGUGAUUUUCUAGUUGAUUCAUCAGGUACAUCAACCAGCUGUAUCCUAUCAAUAGGCCAUGCGAUGGUCUCAUUUAGUGCAUCACUCAUCAAUGAGAUUGGAGGAUUUGGUCUCCACAAAUAAGCAUCAGGUUUAACCACCUCCAGGAUCUUAACAACUGCAGCACCAUGGCCUAGAGGUCUACCAUCCACCAAUUCGUUAUGGUCAGUUGACAACAACAUACCCUCAGCAAUCAAUUCAUCAUCUCCACUCCAAUAUUGAUAGAUGUGAACUCUUCCUAUUGAUGCAUCUGUUGGCUAAUAAGUCAUGCAAAUAUAUAUCUAUAUUAGUACUCUAAUCAAUAUUGAAUAUAAGUGGAACUCAAUAGUAGUUGUAAUUUACCUGCUCUGAUCCGACAGUGUUAGUAGGUUGGGACAAGUUAAUAUCGUCAUCCAAUAUAAUCUUGUCAGCUGGCCAUGCAAUUUUAUGUCCAACAGCCUCACCAAGUGUGAAAAUGGUUGGAGUAGGUCUCCAGACAGAUGCAUUUAUAACAGAUGUUGACUUCACAAGUACAGCAGCUGCAUUGCGACCUAAUGGUAUUCGACCAAUCUUAUAUAUGUGUUCACUGGAGCAAAAAUCUCCUUCAGCAACAACCACCUCAUCAUUUGAACACCAAUCUAGAAGCUGGCACCUUACUCCUUCUUUGCUAACAUUGCUUAAUUCUGACAUAGUAACAUCGUCAUUCUGUCUCUGCAAGGACCAAAACACACAUAAUUAACCAAAACUUAUAUAAGUUGGCAUUGUGAAACAAUGAGUGCCAAAAGUUUUACCUUUUUACUAGCUAAGUCUUUAACCACAUUUUGCAAAUUUUCAAGCUUGCUUUGCAAUUCUGCUUGACUAGCUUCAAGCUUCUGGACAUGUGAGUCUCUAGUCUGUAAGAAUGCUAACUUAGUAACAGUUGCGCCUCUGCCCAUCCCCCUAACUCUUCCUGGUCUGUCUUUUCCUAGUACCUGACUCACAGCAUCUUCCCUAACAUUAUCCGUACAUGUGGUGAAGUCCAUUUCACUAUCAAUUGUCUUGAUCAUUUCCUGUCACCAAAUUUUAUAUUCACAAUAUAAAGAAAUAAUAUUUAAAGCAACUUGAAGAACAAUUUAGUAAGAUUUUAUGUGUACUUACAAUAGUUUCUGCAAAUUCUUCUCUCAUAGGUCUCCCAUCAGAAUGUGUAUGUCCUGCUAUCCACACCUUACUUCUUGUGACUUUUCUAGGAUCAGAAAUGUUUUUUUUCUACAAGCUCAUGCACAUAUACCAUCUCAUUAGUAAAUUACUAAUAGAACUAUACAAACUCAAAACAAAAUACAUACCAUCUCGUCAGCUAAGCGAGUCAUUCCUUUGCGGCUGGUAGUGUGAGGAAUUUGACCCUUCCUCAGCUGCCUGUAUUUUUCACUUCGUUCCUAUAAACAAAAAGAGUCAGAUGACUAUAACUACUUAAAGGAAAAUUUAUCUUAGGACAGUAAACAAUAACCUUAAAAGCUGUUGUGCAUUUGUUCUUCACCCAACUGUUCCAAGCUGAUGUACAUUGGAUGUUGCUAGGCUUCAUUUGCUGUAGAGCAACUUUGCUUUUAGUAGUUCUAACUUUAGUAACAAGCUUAGAUUUGGCAGCCCUCCACAGACCACCCAUUUGCCUAAAUAGUGCUUCUUUCUGCCAAUCUUCUUUGAUAUUGAACCUCCCCUGUCAAACAUUACCAUGUUUAGACAUAAAAAAACACUCCAAUAUAACUUUUAUUCAAGAAAAAAGUUCAUAAUAACCUGAAUUUCUUCCCACAUUACGUCUUUUGUCCUUUGAUCAAGCUGUCUCCAGUCAUCUAGUAGUACAGGCACAUGCUCUCUCACUAGAGGACCAAGGAAAGAGGAGAGUGUCACUGAUCCCUUACCAACAUGCUCACCAAGAGCAUUAAACUCCACUUCUACCUUUUCCUCAAGAUUCUUUGCCACUUUGCGCAUUCUAGUUGGACCUCUUGACUUCCUUUUUUUGGUGUCUGAUUGGUGUGUCUGUGUUUCAGAGGCACCUGCAGUGGAUGGAGGGAUUGGCUGGGGUGAGUGUUCUUCUAGUUCUUCAUUACCUCUUUCUUUCUCUUGUGAUUGACCAUUGUCUUGUUCUUCAUUAACUUCUGCUUUAUUCUCUUGUUCUCCAAUAUCUUCUUCUCCAAUAUCUUCUUCCUCUACACGAUCUUCUCCUUCAUUAGCCACUUCUAUUCUCUCAUCAGUCUCAUCUCUUUCAUUCUCUUCAAUGAUAGUCUUCUUGUUUCUCUUCUUCUUCUUCAAUGACACUACAGGAGUGACAUCAAGGCCUGCCUGGCGCUUACUGCGACGGAUUUCACCUACAGUUUUCAUUGUCUUUGAUUACCUGAAACAAAAAGAAAGAUUUUAAUUAGUCCUCUACUAUUACACCUUCACAAUCAGACCUAACACAAAAACUCUCGUCAUCAGAUGAUUGAUCUCCUAAAUCUUCAAUUGGCUGGACUGAUAAUGGUGCAGAAACAAACUCCUCUACUGUUUCUAGCUCAUGGUAUCCUCUUGGUGGCGCCCUCAUACAAACAUACCAAGGUGAGCAAUCAUCUUCUCUAGAGUAAAAAACUUGUUUAGCCUGCGAUGCCAGAAUGAAAGGAUCAUUUAAGAAUGCUGACUGGUUCAUAUGGAGAUUGACUAGUGUGAAACCAUCUUCCUCUUUCACUCCAUUCCCUUUGUUAGCCCAAAUACACCUAAAAAGUGGAAUCUGGAACAUUUGGUAGUCCACCAUCAAGAUCUCUUUUAUCACUCCAUAAAAUGAUACUAUGUCAGCCAUUUGUCUAGUAUCUUUAGCACUUGAUCUACACAUAGAAAAUGCUUCAUAAUUUACUCCACUAUUCUAGGUUUUCCUCUUGACAUCAUCAGUGUGGAACCGCUGACCAUUAAUUAUAUACCCCUUGUAAGUUUGAGCAAUAUGUCUUGGUCCAAAAGCAAGCCAUCUCAGCCUACUAGAAUGCUCUUUUGAAUUACUUGGUAUCUAACAUGAAACAUAGAAAAUUUCAUUACAUGAUAUAGAAAACAAUUCAGUAACAAUAAAUAAAAUAACUACAUAAUUGACAUUCUUCUAACCUUAUCUUUGAUCCAUUGUGGGAACCUUUCUGUGUGAUAUUUCCACAAUAGUGUUUCAUUCUUUGCACAUCUUGCAUCUGUAGCUUGCAGUUCUUCCAAAUGCAACCUGUUUUCAAUAAAGUUAGUCUCUGUUACACUUUAACCAUCAAGUUUUGAAAUAUAAAAUCUCUAUCAGCUAUGUAUUAAAUCUCUAUCAAAUAAAUAUUGAACAAACAUUUUGUCAAAUGACCAAAAGAAAAGAAGUGAUAGUUUUCUGAGAAGACUAAGAGUUAGAAAAUGAACCUUUUCCAGAAAGUCAUAACAUUUGACCCUUUUCUUCCCUGUUCGGAAAUGAAAAAACGUUGGGUGAAUAACUCCCUUUGGAGAGAAUCCGUCUUCGGACUCAAACAAUGGGUUCCCACUUGAAGUUGUUAUUCUUGAGCUUGAUCUGAAAUAAGACAGCGGCAUUUUUCAAGUUUUUUUUUUUAUAAUAAAGUAUGGUGAUCUUUCGGAAUUCCUUUUAAAGGAGAAAGAGGUUCAGUUUUCUAAAAAUAAUUAUAUAUUGUUGGCCUGUUAGAGCUGGCUUCAGAUCCAAUUAAAACGCGGCCCAGCGAUUCCAAAGCCAUCAUGGGCAAUGAUCGAAACCAUUGCCUGGUCAUAUUUAUGACAAAAUUCUCAUGAAUUAUAAAUCUUAUCCCUCGAUAUAAAAAAACUUAAGCCGACCUCCAUCCUCGCCUUCGAGAGACCGAGGAAAAAUACUUAUUAAGAUUUUUUCUUUAAAAAAGGCAAGUGAGCCUGAUCAGCUCAUCUCUCACAAUUCGUAAAACCUCUUUGGCGGGCUAGGACUUGCAAACCUAGAAUCGUGUCCAAACGUUUUUGCUAUAAAAAAAAAAACCAUAUGCCAGAGCAUGUACAUGGUUGUGUUCAGUCACAUUAAUUGAACAAAAUAUUUCCAUCAAACGGAAUAAUCCUCAUGGACUCAACAAAACAAUUCUUUAAAAAAAAAAAAGAGCGUUCCUACACCUCUGGAGAACCUUCCCCUACCUCGAAUUGAGAUGGGGAAUCUCCAAAUACCAAAGAAAAUUGUUUCAGAUCGAGAGUAGGACGGGAAGCCGAGGAUAACUCGGACUCAACCAUAGCGAGUUCAGCAGCAACUUCGCUCCUCUCGUUCUCGAACGAAACUCUUCCAGCCUCUAGUUCCUUAAUCAGGUCUAGAUUGCUCUUCAGUUCGGCUCGAUCUGUUACAAGUUUAGUCUAGACCUCUUCGUCCUUGAUGAACUUCGUAACAUAUUGAAUAAGUUGCCUACCGAAUCCCCUCAUCUCUUCUCGAGCAUUAUGUUCGGCUUCAGCAAUAUCGCGAGCCCUGUUCCUGGUUAAAAGCUCGAUCUCUUGAUUUGCUUCUUCGAACAAAGCCGUAUUCUCCUCUAGCUCAGCCUCCAAGCGAAGAGCAUUGGACCUCGCAGAAUCUCUUUCAGCAUUCGCAAUUCUGAUGUGUUGCUCGUUAGCUGCUAGAGUUUUCUUCAUAUUUUCAAAAGAUGACUCGAGUGCUUUUUCCCGCUCAAGUCGCUCAGAUUGGUUGGCUGAUCUAAGUUCAUCAACCUCCUUCUUAGCCUUUGCGGUCUCUCUCUUCGCUUGAUGAAGAAGGUUCUCAUAAUGGAAGAUCAUUCCAUUAGUCUCCAUAAACGGCUUCGGAGUAAAAAAAAGAAAAAACUUGUCAUUUAGACAAAAAGCUUUUACUUAAGGAAGGGAGGUUGUCAUAAUCUAAAAGAUCCGAACCUGGGAUAGGUAGCAAGCUCGAUUGGCGAACAUCUGACGGAUUUCCGGCCUCCAAACCGAAAAAGGAGGAAGCGACGCCCCUUCCCUGGUUUGGAAACUUCGGAAGAUGUCUCCAAUGUCUUCUCCGCCUGUGAAGCAGAGGAGAAUAACAGAUUAAUAAAAUAGAUGCAAUCUGUAGCAAGUUUUGCUAAUGCUCGCUUUCUAAGUAAAAACUUACCUGAAAUCGAAGCGGGUAAAGGAUUUUGAGUCCUAACACUCAGUCCUUGAGAUAGGGGAGCCUCCGGUCUCGGUUCAUCUAUCUCCUCUAAAAUUACUCUGUCUCCCGGAAGAGGGAGCUUGGAGUUUAAAGGUUCUGAAGAGGGAGAAACAGAACAUAGAGAGCUAGAGACUCGUGGCGGAGAACUUAAUCUCACGGUUUUAAGUCUCUCGUUUGAUAGAUUAUCGGAAUCUGGAGCCUUCCUCUUUAUACAAGGAGAAGAGGUUAUUUCUCCCUCACACCCUGGUUCGGAAGGGCAAAUUGCGGUGGCAACUGGAGGGUCGUUAAGGAUCUCGGCUCCAUGAGUAUCCACCGUGACUGACAGGGCUGCUUUUAAUGAACCAUCAUCAACCAAGAGGGACUUCCUGUGGAAGUUACCAACCCUGGAGAUUGCAGCUAUCCGUUUCUUUCUCUCGAUUUUGGAUAGCUGAUCCUUAAGAGCCUUGAUUUCGGCCUGUAUCUUUCUUUUUGUCUCGAGCAUUCAGGCUCGAGACGUCUUUCUCCUCGGGAGGAGGAUCGAGGGGGUGAGUCUGACCGUCUUUAAUGGCGAGCCCCGCUUUAUGAAUGCGUUGAAGGGUGAAGGAAUUCCGAUUUGUUUCACCCUCGGAAACAAUUCGAAAGAAGGACAAGAAGUCAACGGUCGGGCGGGGGAUCGUCUGGUUCCCUGAAACAAAGUAUUGAGUUAAGAAUUCUAUCUCUUUUACAUAAUACAGUGGAAAGUAAUAAAGGUUGGAUUUUUAACUAAGUUUAGCCGACCAAUUGGCGAGAAGAAGACCGGAAAGACCUUGAACGGAAUGGGGAUUGACUCGGAAAAAGAACUAGUAUUUCCUCCAAGGCCUAUCAUUCGAGGGCAUUCCGUCGAUCAGGUUACGGUCAAGGAUAGGGUUUAUAGAAAAAAUACCCGCUGCUGCGGAUUCACGGGCUCGAAAUAGCCCGAAGAGUUCGCUGGUGGAGAGGGAAAACCCUGCUUCUGCCGAAACAGUCAGGGUGCUCAGAACGUAUCGAAGAAAGUUGGGAGCCAUUUGGGGAAAGGCAAUCCCUAGGUGGAGGAGGUAUAAAGAAGAACUUCCGGUACGGGAAAAAACAAACCACAACCUUUGAAAUAUACUUCGUACGCACAACAGUAACCCUCUCGCACCACUUCCGGAGACUCGUUGGGUCUAGGAAGAGAGAAUUCAAUUUCAUGGGGGAUGUUACAAAGGCGGCGAAGAGCGCCAAGGGAAGCAGAGGUCGACUAAGACCUGAAAUGCGGACCAAAUUUGUCUCCCCUUUGGGUGAAGACUUCAUCCCCUCUGGGAACAGGGAUUCCUUGACUGUCAUCUUCGUUUUCCGAAACAUAGACGGCUGGGGAAGACAUCUUUUACUAAGAGGUUUCUCUUUUUCUGGUUUGGUAAAAGCUUUUAGAGGUAAAUGUACGCUGCUGUAAAAGCCGUUGUUCCAUUUAACCUUAUUUAGCAGAAAACCGCCUCGAGAAUAUUGGGAAGUGGGACGAUUUUCCCCGUGGUAUUAAUAUAAAAUUAGAAAAUUAAUGAUGACGGUUGUCAGGGAUAUCAAAUCAUUUAAUUAUUCGAGAUCGGCGUAAUAGCGUAAAACAUGGAAUAAUUCCGGAAUGUUAAAGAUCUCGAGUCAUUAAUUAUAGUUUACUUAAGUCUUCCAAGCCGAGCACUCAGCUCGCAAGACUUGGGGGGCUAAAUGUUGGGGCCGGAUCCCACACAUCUUCGGUAGGAUCCACUUGGAUCUGUCCACGUCAUUAUUACAUAAUAAUCCUCUUGGAUUUCUAGAUAUUUCAUUGCGAGAAUCGAGCUCGACCUGUCGGAAGUUCGAUUCAGUUUAUUAAAGAGCUCGAUCUUUACCAGUACGGAGUUCGCUCUUAUUCAACAUAUAGUGUGCAUAAAAAAAAGGCCGAAGCGAGGAGAAUAUUGUUCGAGGUUCGCGGCAGCGUCAAGACGCAGGAGUUCGGAGUCAACAAGAAAGAGUUCGGAAGAUCCACACGAAGCCCAAGAUAAUUCAAAUUCAAGCCGUUUCGGUCAAAUUGUAACCUACAUGAUUAAUGCGGAUCAAUGCGAUUAUGAGCAGUAAAUGACCGCAUUGAUCAUGUUUUCUCUAUAAAAACAACCUCAAACGCAUGUGUUUGGGGGGAGAACAACCUUUUACCUCUUACCAUCAAGCAAUACAACAUACUCUUUCUUUUACAAUUUCGCAAGGCUUUUUACUAUUUUAUUCUUGCCAAACUCUUUCGCUUUAUUUAGUUUCUUGGUCACUUUCCUUUUCAAAUCCUUAUUUUCAUUUGUUGAUUUUAGAGUUUUUCUCCACAAAUAUACUUAAAGACAAUCGAGUGUGAAUCCUACAUCCACAAAAUACAUAUUAAUCAUACAAAAUCUAAAAUAAUACUUAAUUUAACCCUUCUUUGCUGUCAAGUUUUUAAAAGUUUGACAAUAAAAUAUCAAAUCGAAGCCCUCGUGACAAAGAGUUUAAUUCUACAUUUAGAAUUUUAAAAAUCUAAUGUAUGUGACCGUGAAAACGUUUACAAUAUACAUAUAAAGAUUAUAUUGCGUAUUAUUUUUGAUUUUGUAGGAUUAAUCUGCAUUUUAUGGAGGUGAAAGGUAAAGUCGCAAAAAUUGGCGAGUUGGAGGAUUUUUUUGCACAAAACCCUAGAAUAAAAGGAUUCUAAACGGGUCAGCUCGUUUAGGGCCGUGAGCAUAGCGGGUUUGAUCAAAAAUAAAUGGGUAGUUUGAUCUUUUUUAAAGAAAAUGAUAGCGUUUUAAACUUAAAGAUUUUGGUCAGAUUAAUCCGAGCCUCACCGCUUCUACCUCCGAUCACCGCCUUCUCUUCUGAGCCUCACUACAUGUCCUUCAAGCCUCUCCUCUUAAGUUAACGAGUUUCGCUAGAACCAAAAAUGAUAAAUCGAUGAAUGGAAUGUCAAACCAAAAAUAUAUAAACAAGGUAAUCAAAAUAGUGAUACGUGAGACGAUGUAGAGUGAUAGUUCUCGUCUAAUCCAGAUCCAGUGGAACACCCAACAAAUUUCUAAUAACAUUUAUUCAUACCGUAAAAAUUUAAGGAUAUUAUGACAAUCUAUGCUUAGAAGAAUCGUAAAUUAGUUCUCUCUCUCUUCAUCACUUUUUUACUUCUACUGUAUAUGUGUAAAAGACAAUCUUAUCCUUAGUGUAUCUCUCUCUCGUUCCUUUCUCUCUUUUGUUUCACCCAUAACCCAAAACCACAAAUAUUCGACGGAAUGAUUACAAUGGAUUCGAAAAAAAAAUCAUAGAGAGCUAAAGCUGGCUAGAGAAGCAAACUGGUGAGUUGUGUAGUUCACUUAUGACAAUGGUAAACGAAAACCAAGGGAAGGGAGGAGAAUGGGUAUCGUUGGUGGAAAACGACCACUGUCACAUUUUUUCAUGAUUCAAGUUGUGUUUCAAAAAGAUAAUGGUCGAUUUGAUUUUGUGACAGAGCCAACCGUUUGAUAGUGGUUGUUCCGACUUUGCUUCCGUGAAGGUUGAAACCAAGACACGAUGGUGGUUUCAAAUCUCGAUGUAAUAUCAAAACCCGACUGAUUUGUGCAAUGAGGAAUUUGUCAGUUGAGUUUUGAUGAGGUUUAUUGAGUAAAAGAGGUGAAUUGGAAUCGUUGGCGGCAACGACCAUUAUCACAUUCUUCUGGGUUCGGUUCUGUUAUAUGGGUAACGUACAAUAUUAAUUAGCAACGCAUACAAAGAUGGUAACAUAUAAUUUACCAGUAAUAACUAAUUAAUUACCAGUAUGAUAAUUUAUAAGUUACCUGUAAUAAUGAAAUUAUUAGAGUAAAUAUACAGGUUACAUUAUAAGUUAGCUAUUAGCCUAAUACCGUUCAUAUAAUAUAAAUGAUUUAACAUGAUAAAUUUGAGCAUAUGUUAUAUAAGUUAUAUAAGUUACACGUUAAUCCUAUACUAUUAUUUGGGGAGUAAAAUUUAUAAUUACCCUUAAUUAACCUUCCCCUUUGUAAGAAUUUACUUAAGAAUGCCAUUAGAAAUAAAAUUUUAUAGAGUAAAUUAAUUCAACUCAUUAAAGAUAAACAAGUCAAAUAUAUUUUAUGAAAUUUAAUUAAUUUAAUUAAAUUAUAAAAACGAAAAUCUAUUAUUAAUUUCUUUAAAAAGAAUGACCAAUCAAAAUGAACAUAUAAGAUUUGAUAUCUAACUUACCAGAUUAAUUUGUUAUUAAUCAUUAUACUUCACCUCUCAUCUUUAUAUGAUUCUAUUUCUAUAAAUAAAUAAAUCAUUAUAUCAUCUAUAUAAUAAAAAAAAAAGUAAUUUUUUUCCGCAUAUACCAAGAUUUGAGUUUUUAAAAACGAAUAUAAAUUAUUCAAUGUAUGAAAGAACAAAUUUAACGGGUCAAAAAUUCAUAUUUGAGUAAUAUAUUUUUUUUUUUUAAUAUCAUCAAUACUUAAUAGAUCAAAAAUCUAUGAAGUAUAAAUACUCUAAUUUGAUUUUUUGAAACAAAUAUUUAUAAUAGGCGGUGGUUGAAUAUAAUAUAUUAUAUGAUGAAAUGAGUUAUGAUCCUUAUAAAUAUUUGAAUAUUUAUAUUUAAUUUCAUACCAUUUUUUUUUAAUUCAUAAUUUUACAUACUACAAUAAAAGUUUUUAAAGAUUUUAAUUUGGAACAUUUUAAAAAAGUUUAAUUUAAUAUAUUAAAGAAUAUCAUAAAUAUUUAAUAGAUUAAAAAGAUUAAAAAAAAAUUAUAAAUACAUUAAUUUGAUUUUCUAAAAAGAUAUGUUUAAAAUAUUUAUAGUAGGCGGCGGGUUAAAUGUAAUGUAUUAUAUGGUAGAAAGUGAUGAUCCUUAUAACAGACGGCAUUCUAAGAUUUUAUGAUGAAAUGAGUUAAAUAAGGUUUGACACUUCUAAAUAUUUGAAAAUUUGAUUCGGCAAACAAUUUUGAAAAUAAUAAAUAAUAGAUUGUGCCGCAAUAUUUUUAUAGGGAUUGUAAAAUGAAAAUAUAGACUCCACACACGGAUUGAAUUUGGUAUUAUUAUAUACCAAAUAUAUGUUCAUAACAUAUUUGAUUAUGUGAAUAAUUGGUAAAUUCCGUAAUUAGUUCAAACAAAUCUCUAUUUCAACAACCAAUGAAUCAAAAUUAAAAAAAUAAUUUCCUAAAUUAAUUCAAAAUAAUAGCUAAUUUUCUUAAGUAAUUCAAAAUAAUCUACGUUUUAGAUGCGAUUCAUUUAUGAUAUUUUGAUUUUUGAUCUAACUAAAUUAUAUGCACUCUCAUUUUGUGGUUGUUAACAUAAAUUAACUCAUUGUUCAAACAAUAUUAAUUUUUUUAAAAUAAUCUUAUUUUUCGUUUUCAUAUAAUAAAAAAAAUAUCCAUAAUUGAAUACUAUAGAAAAAAGAAAAAUAUAUUCAUUCUAAUAUUAUGUAUAGGGACUGACAAAAAAAUAUUAUUUUUUCACUUACUAUUAUAAUAUAUCACAACUUUAUUCUAAAAUAUAAAAUUUAUAAAUUUUGUAAUAAAUAAAAUUCAACCAGUACUGUAGUACCAGUACGGGUGAUGAUCUAGUAUAAAUAUUAUCCAUGUAUCGAAUAUUUUACCAUAUUCAUACAAAUAUUAUUUAGAUAUUUAAUAUGUUAACAAGUUAUCAUUCUACAUAACAUGUUGUUAUAAUUAUUAUCAUGUUAAUCAUGUAAGAGAAAGACUAAUCCAUUUUUAUUGAACUGAUAUAUACAUAAAUGAAAAUAUUGAUUCACAAUUUUUAAUUGAUAAACAUGCAUUUAACACAUAAUAUGUAAAUUUCUCGCGAUAUUAUAUUAUGUGGUAUGUUAAACAAAUAGUUAUACACUAAAAUCACAAAAAAAUCUACUAUAUCGUCGAUCUCUGAUGAACAGUGAUAUCGACCGGUUAUGAAGAGUGUUGCCGGAAAAGAGUUGUUCAUAUCAAUGAUAUUUUUUGUAAUUAAACUAAAUGAAAAGGAGAUAUAUUGUGAAAAAUGUCAUUUAAAUCAUCAGUGGUCUAUUUUCGUUGAUUUAAAGCAUGAACUAUGCACCUGGUGAUUAAAUGCUUAAUUUUAUGUCUACUUUCAAUUUAAUCAUGAAUUUUCGUUGACAAAAGCCAAUUGAAGCACAAAAAAUCGAAAUCGAAAAAAAGAAAUCUUGAGAAACUAAGAUUAAGGCCAUGAAUGGAUGCUCUUUUUUUAAUUUGGUUUCUAGAUUUUGUUUUUAGUUUUUGGAUUUUAGAUUUUAGUUUUAGAUUUUGUAAUUGGAUUUUUGUUUUCGAAACCCAAAAAAAAUGGUUUUUAGUUUUUGAGAAAAAUAACGUAUAGAGAGUAAAAACUAGAUUCCCUUAAUUAUAGGAGAACUAAAAAUCUAAAAUCUUGAAUGGAAAAUCAUAACAAAAAAGUUUUUCUAAAUUAUAGGGAAACCAAAAUUUGAAAAACUUGAUUGAUGCGAAAUAAGUUUUUAACUUUGAAGUUCUAAUUUUGAUAUCAAUUUUCUUCUUUCGAUUCAGAUUUUGUGCCUCAAUUGGCUUUGUCAACGAGAAUUCGUGAUUAAAUUGAAAGUCAACAUAAAAUUGAACAUUUUAAUCAUUAGGUAUAGAAUUCAUGCUUUAAAUCAACGAAAAUGAACAACUGAUGAUUUAAAUGAUAUUUUUCCCGAUAUUUAUUAUGUUUUUCGGGUUUUUUUCCUUCUUACUUAAUUUUCAAUUUAUUAGUGUUAUAAAACUAAUAAAAUAUAUAAUCGUUGUUCCAGCGGACUCCUCCGCAAAAUAAAUAAUCUUGGACACAUAUUUUCAAAUGAAAAAAAUAGUAUAAAUUACACCAAAUAUUUUUCGAUUUCCAUUAAAAAGACACAAAGAAUUUCGAUUUCCAUUAAAAUACAUAAAAAUUCAAUUUCCGAUUAAUACACCAUCAGUCCAUCACUAUGUGUAUAUAGAAUUUUUAUCACUUAUGCCACUUUUCCUAAAAAACUAAUCGUUUAUGCCUCUUCAUGUUUAUAAUUUUAUUUUUCAUUUUCUUUUAAAUCGAAAUUAAUAGAAAAAGUCUAAAAACCCUUACCCUAAUCUAAUAUUUACGUAUCACUGCCACAACUAAACUACAAAAACAUAACUGCCUCAUUUUCUUUAUCACGCCUCCUUCUUCUUCUUCUUUUUCUCUCCAGAUUUUUUUCUCUUUUCUCUCUAUCUCUUCUUCUCCAUGGAUCUCUAUUCUUCUUAUCUCUUCAUCAUCAUCAAAACUCUAGAUUUCUUAUUCUCCAUUGAUUUCUUUUUGCGUUUCUCAUCAACCAUUAUAAACCCUAGAUCUCUUUUUCUCCAUGGAUCUUUCUUCCCUCUCUUCGAUCUUCUCAUUCUAGUUCCAUAGAUCUCUUUUUCUCAAUGGAUCUUUCUUCCCUCUCUUCGAUCUUCUCAUUCUAGAUCCAUGGAUCUUCGUUUUUUUUCACAGAUCUGAGAUUAACAACAAUCCCGAUCUAGAUUUCUCCAAAUUGGCUUUGUAGUGCGAAGAAGAAUCGGCGGUGGAGGAGAAUCGGCGGUGGAAGAGAAUCGGCGGCGGUGGACAAUGAACAAAGCAAGAAGAGACGAUGAUGGCGCUAGGGUUUAUAAUUACAAAUUGCUUAAAUUUUACCAUUUGUACCAGUUGUCCCCAUUUAUGUAUUAGUUGUACCAGUUGUCUAGUUGUCCCUAUUUAUGUAUCAGUUUUACCAGUUGUCUAGUUGUCCCUAUUCAUAUGUUAGUUGUACUAAUUGUUUCAAUUGUACUAUUAUAUUUCAGUUGUACCAUUUGUACCAAUUAUUCCUAUUUAUAUAUAGUUGUACCAGUUGUACUAUUAUAUUGCAGUUGUACCAUUUGGACCAGUUAUCAUACAAUCUCUCAUUUGUACCAGUUGUAUUAUUAUUUCUUAGUUGUACCAAGUUGUACCGAGUUGUACUAUUCCGUACCAAUUCGCCCUAAUUUCAUUAAGGGUAAUUUGGGGAUAUCACAUUUAUGGUGGCACUCAGAUUAUAAGGUGGCACGCCAGAUUAAUUUUUUUCAAAUAGUGGCAUAUGUGGCUCGGACUCGUGUAUAUAGGCAUGGCCAUUA
RNAcentral lists this long non-coding RNA (59812 nucleotides) under Arabidopsis lyrata. RNAcentral describes it as "long non-coding RNA (ALYR_LNC001976)". The record is from RNAcentral. Lineage: Eukaryota; Viridiplantae; Streptophyta; Magnoliopsida; Brassicales; Brassicaceae.